This 58193-nucleotide long non-coding RNA is filed under the name Gossypium raimondii (Peruvian cotton). RNAcentral's name for it is "long non-coding RNA (GRAI_LNC004223)". The record is from RNAcentral. Lineage: Eukaryota; Viridiplantae; Streptophyta; Magnoliopsida; Malvales; Malvaceae.
UAAUUUCAACCAAACUAAAACUUGGUUAGCAACUAUAUUUGUUGUAACGUAUGAAAAAAAACUAUUGAUACACCCUGAUUACUGCCACUGUCUCUUAUCCGCACAAUAAGGCGUCGCCGAAGGUGUGGCCGAUGGAUUCACCGUGACCUGCGUUCUUUCCUUUCGAGUUGCGGACAUGAAUUUCACCAUCACCAGUUUUACCUUCUCCGUAGUCUUCAUGACAAUCAAGAAUAAUACUCGAUAAAAAACAACCAUUGCAAAUAAGAUAGCAAGAUCAACCCACUUAGAGUAUGCCGUUUCAAAAUGCCAAGUUUGCUUCAAAAUUUCUUCACCAGUAAUGGUUGGCGACCCUCCAUUUCCAGCUUCAGCAUUGGGAGAAGUCAAGCCUAGAAACUCGUUCUUAAACAGUCCCUGAUAGGCAUAUUUGUGGAACACAAUGUGGUAGAAGGGAUAUUUCAACAACGGCUUAGGAAGAUCAGUGGGUAGUCGGAAGAAUCCGCAGACCAAGAUCAUUAUACCUUGAAUUCCAUCACCUACUAUGAUUCCCAUCAGGAUAUUGGGUACCACACUUGCCACAAUCAUCAUUAAGCUCUCCACCAACAUCAUGCAAGCGAAUAAUAUGAUGACGAAGAACAAGAAAUGUUGAUAUCUAUGGUGAAGUCCUGGAAGGAAAUAUGUAAUUGCGUCUGGAAUAAGUGCGACGAGUGCCAAGAAUGGCAGAGCAGAUAACGUAUUUCCGAUGCCAAAAGGAGUGACACCGUAGUGCCCAUUUAGUCUUUCACGUUCGAAUACCUUCAUUUCCUCUACAAAAGAAGGGAAUCCAACAAUGGCCAUGAAGGUUAGAAAUGAUGCCACAAACAUCAUCAGUGAGCCUCAAGCCUGAAAAAAAAACCCUUAUAUGAUCACUUGCAGUGUUGAAAUCGAUCAAUCAGUAUUAUGUAUUCAUAUUACGAACCUGGAUUGUUCCAUUGUCCACCCCGAUGUGGCUAAACAUAGAGCCAAGUACAAUAGAAAGUGAAAUGUAGAUACCUAGACGCAACCAAUAGUAGCCAAGGUCACGAGACAUGUUUGUGAAAGAUCUUCUGGUAAGGACAUGGCAUUGGGUGAAGAACCCAGACUGCCUAUUAUUUUUCUACAAUGCUCCACCACCCUGACAUGAAAAUCCAACAUCCAAUAUGUUUAAUGCCUUUUGGAUUAUCUAUUUUAAAUUCUGUUCAGAGAAAAAAAUAAUGAGCUGUUAUAAACCUGACAAAUCUGAGCUACCUCUUUCUGAGCCAUUUGGUAUAUAUCUGAAGACUCAUAUGUGUUGAAAAAAAGGCUGCUGCUAAAAAAAACAGAACAAAGAACUGCAACGGAAGUAAUGGGAAUUUAGAGAAAUUGAUAACAGUGAUACAAAACACUUUAUUCCAUGAAGAGUUUAAAUACUGAAAUAGCUAACAACUUAGAGAUAUAUUAGGACUCUAAUAGAAUCUUGAUACAUCUCCUAAAUAAAAGAAACACUACUGGAAUUAAAAACAGACUUACAACAGACUUUGACUGACUCAACGUCUAAAUUAUUCAAUCAGUAAAUAAUUUCUACAUUACCCAUUAACACUCCCCCUUAAGGUAGAAACUCUCCAACACCUAACAAUUCUCUCAAAUAAAUGAACUUCUUCGGUGGAAGUGGCUUUGUGAACAAAUCAGCAACUUGUUCUUCAGUGCAACAGUGCUCCAACUUGAUAUAUCCCUUUGCAACCAGCUCUCUUAUGAAAUGAUGACGUGUUUCAAUGUGUCCUGUUCUAUUGUGAUAAACAGGGUUUUUUGUCAUUGCAAUUGUUGACUGAUUAUCACAAUAGAUGGUAGUUACCUCCACUUGUGUUUGCUUUAAAUCACCAAGAAUUCUUCGUAUCCAGACAGCUUGACACGCAGCAGCAGUAACAGCCAUAUAUUCAGCCUCCGACGAUGAUAACGCAAUUGCUGGUUGCUUCUUUGAGCUCCAUGAAACAGCUCCGCUACCCAUAGUAAAAACGUAACCAGUUGUACUCUUGCGAUCUUCAAUGCAACCACCCAAAUCACUAUCUGAAAAACCAUACAGUUUUUGAUUGUUAGAGAAUUUAUACCAUAUUCCAAAUGAGCUUGUCCCCUUCAAAUAGCGCAAGAUUCGCUUGGCAGCUCCAAAGUGAUGCUUGCUUGGACUCUGCAUAUAUCUAGACAAGAGACUUGUUGCUUGCAAAAUAUCAGGUCUACUAUUUGUUAGAUACAACAGACUCCCAAUCAAACUUCGAAACAAUUGACAAUCAAUUUUCUCUCCCCCAUCAUCUAAGCAAAAUUUUUGAUUGGUGCACAUUGGAGUACUCACGAGAUUGCAGUCCUUCAAGUUAAACUUUUCAAGGAGAUCAUUCACAUAUUUUUCUUGAGACAUAAAAAUACCUCUGCACAUUGUUUAAUUUCAAGCCCCAGAAAGAAACUCAUCAACCCCAAAUCAGUCAUUUCAAAUUCGUCUGUCAUCAGCUUUUUAAACUCAUUCAACAAAGCACUACUAUUGCUAGUAUAAAUCAAAUCAUCAACAUAAAGGCAAAUAAUGAGAAUCUCAAAAGUACCUUUACUUUUCACAUAUAGAUUUGGCUCACUGGGACUUCUUUGAAAGCCAUUAUUGCUGAAAUGUCCAUCAAUUCUUCCAUACCAGGCUCGCGGCGCUUGCUUUAAGCCAUAUAGAGCCUUUUUCAACCUAUACACUUUCUCUUCUUGAUUUGUAACCUCGUAACCUUUUGGUUGCUGCACAUAUACUUCUUUUUCUAAGAUCCCAUUUAAAAAGGCCGACUUGACAUCGAACUGAUAAAUUUCCCAACUUAAUUGAGUUGCAAUUGACAAAAUAACACGUAUGGUGUCAAAUCUUGCUACCGGAGAGAAAGUUUCUUGGAAAUCUAACCCUUCACGCUGCAUGUACCCUCGUGCUACCAGUCUUGCUUUAUGCUUUUGAAUGGAACCAUCAGCCAGGAAUUUAGUUUUGAAAAUCUAUUUUAACCCAACAGCUUCUUUUCCAUUUGGAAGAUCUACUAAUUCCCACGUCUUGUUCCUUUCCAAGGCUUUCAUUUCAUCAUCCAUUGCAUCUCGCCAUUCCUUGGAUUUGAUUGCUUGUUCAAAGACAAUUGGAUCUUCAAUUUGGGUGAAUUGGCAUUGUUCAGUGCUUGCAUAAAUUUCUGCCAAUGAUCUCCAUUUUCUAGGUGGUGAUUCUGAUAAAGAAGAGCUUGAUGAAGUGGUAUUUGGAAUUACUGAAGGACUGUUUGGUGCUGAUGAGAAAGAACUUCCAUCUUCAUUUUCUUGACUCGGAUGAGUGUCGAGACAUUCACCAACUUCAAGUAAUGCUUCUGAACCUGCUUGUAAUUCCUUCCAAUUCCAAGAGCUUUUCUCAUCAAAAACAACAUCACGACUAAUUAAUAGCUUCUUAGAUAAAAGAUUAUACAAUCGAUAUCCUUUAGUUUCAGAACUAUACCCAACAAAGAUACAUUUAGUGCUAUUAUCAUCUAACUUUCCUCUCUUUUGAGAUGGAAUAUGCCCAAAUGUAAUGCAACCAAAAAUUCUCAUAUGAGUUACCUCAGGUUUCCACCCAUGCCAAGCUUCAAAUGGUGUUUUUUGUUCUAGAGCUGCUGUUGGAGAUCGGUUGAGGAUGUACACUGCUGUGUGAAUUGCUUCUGCCCAGAAACUUUUUGGAAGAUUUUUAGCUUUAAGUAAGCAUUUUCCCAUCUCAACAAGACUUCGAUUCUUCCUCUCAGAGACUCUAUUUUGUUGAGGAGUGUAGCUUGCUGUUAGCUGGCGUUGAAUGCCAGAUUCUUCACAGAAUUUGUUGAAUUCAGUAGAGAGAAAUUCUCCACCACGAUCUGUCCGUAAGGUCUUUAUAGGCUGGCCACUUUGUUUCUCAAUACUUACUUUAAACUUCUUGAAAACUGAAAGAGCCUCUGAUUUUUCUUUGACAAAGUACACCCAUGUCAUUCUACUAUAGUCAUCAACAAAGACUAAAAAGUACCUGUUGUUAUUGAGAGAAAGUGUUCUCAUCGGCCCGUAAAGAUCAGUAUGAAUAAGUUCAGCAAGUUAGGAAGCUUUCCUUGCCUUGCCCUUUGGAAAUGAAUCUCGAUGUUGUUUCCCAAAUAUACAGCUCUCACACACAUCACCAACAUUUUUUAUUAGAGGUAAACCAUCAACUAAAUUCUUUUCAAACAUGAGUUUUAAACUACCAAAAUUUAAGUGCCCAUAUCUGUGAUGCCACAACCAAUUUUCAUCAAAUGAUUUCGCCUUCAAAGUAAGCUUUUCAUCAAUUGCGAGAUUAUAAGGAAAAAUCUUAUUUUUUGCCAUUGGAACACUCGCUAACAGGUGCUUUUUCGAUUUAUCCUUAAAAAUGCAGCAAUUGAAUUCCUCAAAGACAAGUGAAUACCCAUCCACCAUAAAUUGCCCAACACUUAGCAAAUUAGAAUCUAAGUCUGGAACAUACAAAACAUUAUGAACGCAAUUAAGACCUAGGGAAUUCAUCUGUACCGUACCUUUUCCCUUUGCUACACGAACAGUUCCAUCACCAAGCGUUAUUCGACUAGUUACUGACUUAUCUAAGUUGCUGAAGAGACUUAAUUCACUCGUCAUAUGAUUGCUACAACCACUAUCUAUGUACCAAACCUCAGGAGAACACUUCUUAGCACUAAAGCAUGCAACGAACAAGCUCUCUGUCUCAUCUUCUUCACUAUCUUCAUGAGCCAAGUUAGCCUGCUUCUCUUUAAGCUUGCAAAACCUCUCAAUGUGCCCGAACCUUUUGCAAUAGUAGCAUUGUUUUGGACUACUAUUUUCUCCUUUAUCGUCAUCUCUAUACCGUUGGUUCUGUCCAUUGAAUCGUCUACCAGCCCUACCUCUUAUUCUCCCACGAGAUGAAUUUCCUCCACGCUAGUCAUUGAAGUUUGUUUCGUUGGUGCCCUUUCCACCACGAGAGUAUUGCGACCUACUAUAAAAGGCAUUCUCAACAGACACAUUAUCAUACCUUUUCAUCCUAUCAUCAUGAGAAUAAAGAGAGCCUUGCAACUCAUCAAUUGUUAACACACUCAAAUCUUUUGAUUCUUCUAUAGCUGCAACUACAUGAUCAUAUUUCCUCGGUAAACUCCUAAGAAUCUUCUCAACUACCCUUUGCUCACUUAAAUCCUCACCAUUUUUUCGAAUUUGAUUCACAACAUCAAUUAUUUUUGACACAUAAUCAUCCAGAACAUCAUCAUCUUCCAUAAUAAAAUUAUCAAACUUCCUACGCAGAGUUUGAAGUUUGACAGUCAUCACCUUUGCAGUACCUUGAUAUGCCGUUCGCAGCGUGUCCCAUACUUCUUUCGAACGCGUCACCGCUUCAAUGCGAGGAAAAAUUGAUUCAUCUACAGCUUGUUGGAUAAAAAACAAAGCUUUAGCACCCCUCUUUCUUAUAUCUUUGAGAGUCUCAACUGCUGCCUCCUCUUCAUCGUAUCCAUUUUCCACCAAGUCCCAUAGGUCUUGGGACAAAAACAAAGUAUUCAUCUUAGUGCUCAAAACUCCAUAGUUGCUGCCUUGAAAAAUUGGAACCAACGGCUGUGAGAGGUUCACUCCAUUCUGAUUGCUUACCAUCAUAAGUUUGAACACAGGCCUCGAGUAGCUCGGAUACCAGAUGUUGAAAAAAAUGCUGCUGCUAAAAAAAACAGAACAAAGAACUGCAACGGAAGCAAUGGGAAUUUAGAGAAAUUGAUAACAGUGAUACAAAACACUUUAUUCCAUGAAGAGUUUAAAUACUGAAAUAGCUAACAACUUAGAGAUAUAUUAGGACUCUAAUAGAAUCUUGAUACAUCUCCCAAAUAAAAGGAACACUACUGGAAUUAAAAACAGACUUACAACAGACUUUGACUGACUCAACGUCUUAUUAUUCAAUCAGUAAAUAAUUUCUACAUUACCCAUUAACAAUAUGACUUCACCAGGAUAUCAAUAACUUCCAGUGUGGGGAUUCCAUUAGCAAACCCUUGCUCAAUAUCCUGUUUAAAAGAACAAAAUAUCAUACAGGAUACUUGAUGUACAUUAGGAAAUAUUUGUAGACUAGUUACCAACCCAUAUUGGGCUCACGGUCUUGACCAUCAUACCUUGUCAAAAUCCUUAUUGAUUGUUUUGAGGAAGUGAUCAGAUGGAUUCUGGAGACUUGGGCAAGGGAAUCCAUCUAAAGCAAAAAACUACAUAUUUUAGAAAAUAAGAUGGGUUAGUUUGUUUUGCCAACUCUCUCUUUAUAUAUAUAAUGUUAUGCUAGUGAAAAAGAACAUACUUCAUUUGAUGCAGAAACCGAAAUACACAGUUUUGCCUGCAGAUAAAAGGUAAAGAUUGGUGAAUAGUUGAAAGUUGAAACACUUUAGCGCCAGGCUGAUGGAUGGAUGCAAUGAUUAUUCUUCCAAUAUUGUCUUUCUGAUUCAGGCUUGCGAUUCUGCUCAUCACAUAAUAUGAAGCCGCACUGUCAAGGCCACUAGUUGGUUUAUCCAAGAACAAAAGCUUAGGGCGUGUUAAUAUUUUAAUGCAAAUACUAACUCUCAUCUUUUGGCCACCGCUUAGUCCUUUAGCACCCCACCCACCAAUCCGAGUAUCCAUGGCGUCUUGCAAACCCAUUUCUCUGAUCGUCGUUUUGGCUCUCUCAUUCUUUUCUGAAUUGGCCAUAGUAUCCGGUAACUGGAGCUGAGCUGAGUAGUAAACAGCUUCUCUUAUAGUCAGUGUUGUAAUCAGUGCAUCGUCUUGGGUUACAUACGCCUGCGGUGUGAUCCAUGGUAGUAAUUUAAUUUGCAUGCAAUUAAAAAGGGAACUUUAUAAUGAAAUUCAUUAUUAUGGAAUUUCUCCUUACAGAUGUUCCAUAAGCCAAUGCUUGUUUACGCCCAUUGAUAAGAAUAUGUCCUGCUUGGCUUGUGUUGGGACCCUGUCUCCCUGUUAUGGUAUCAAGAAGUGUGGAUUUGCCACAACCCGAAGGACCCAUUAUGGCCAACGGCUCACCAGGGCGAGCAUAACCAGUCAUGCCCUGAAGGAUCGGUCUUCCACCAGCAACCGUGACCGACAAAUUGUCCCAAGUCAAGAGAACACCAUCCUCCAUAAACCUGUUACUUCGGCAUCCAUUUUUACUCCCUGGCGUUGGAUUAAUGUUUUCAACCUCUAAGGUAGCAUGGGUUUAUGAUCUACCCUGCACUGGUUUUGACUUACGAAAGGAAGCUGCCAUAAUUAAGAAAACAAAAAGAAACUGAGAUCAGGAGUUAGGACUGAGGUUAAUGUAUAUGCUAUAUUUAUAAUGGGAUCUUCCACUCCAGGUCUUCACUACACCAAAACAGGCUUUUAGCGGCGUUUCUAGCGGCGUUUGGAUAACAAAUGCCGUUCCAGAUCAAUCAUUAGAGGCGAUUUCUAUAAAGCGCCGCAAAAACCUCGGCCCAACGACGUCGUUUUCUAGGUAUGCGGGGAUUUAACGGUGGUUUUUAUUAAGCGCCGCUAAAGAUCAAGGAUUUAGCGGCGUUUUUGAUAAAUCGCCGUAAAGAAAAAUAAGACAAACGACGCCGUUUUCAGAGCAUUCGGUAGCCUAGCGGCGUUUCUGAGGUAGCGCCGCUAAUGUUCAGUACUUUAGCGGCGUUUGUAUGGAAGCGCCGCAAAUAAACAUAAGCCGAACGACAUCGUUCUCUGAGUAUUCGGGGAUUUAGCGGCGUUUUUGGUAAGCGCCGCCAAUAAACUAAGCCCAACGCGGUUGUUUUACUUAGCAUUUGGGGGAUUUAGCGGCGUUUAUUGACAAGCGCCAUAAAAUAAUUAUUUUUCUAUUUGUUAUUUAAUUGAUUUAUUUAUAUUAAUUAUAAUUAGAAGUUUUCAUUUAAGUUACCAUUAAGCUGUUAAAAUCGAUGCCGGCCAUAUUGCUUUCUCAAAACCCUUAAACCCUAAAAACAUAAUCUUUAAAACCCUAAACCCCUAAAAAUUUCAUGUGGAUAUUGAUGUACAUGUAUAUGCACAUAUAGAUAUAGAUUAAUGUAAAAGGUCAUAUAUGUUUAUAAAGAAUUAUGGAAGCAGUACUUAAUAUUGAUUAAAAAUUUUUGGGAUUUAGGGUUUAAGAGGCUUAAGGGGCUAUAGUUUAAGGGGUUUUAUAGUUUAAGGUUUAAUGUUUAGUGCUAUAUUGUAGGUUAAGGUUUAGGGUUUGUUAUAUUGGGUUUGAGAUAUUUAGUGUUUUAAAGUUUAUUGUUUGGAGUUUAGUUUUUAUAGUCAGAGUCUUAGUGUUUAAUUAUGGGUUUAAGGGUUAGGCUGGUAUUAGGGUUUAAGUAGGGUUAGGGAUUUUGAUAAAAAUAUAAAGAAAAGUUAUUUUUUAGGGUUUAAACAAGCAAUAUACGAUUCUUUUUAAUUACUUUUAAUUCUAACUUAUAAUAUAUAUUUGUGGUUUAAAUUAAGUUUAGGGUGUUAUAGGGUAUAUUAGAGUUUAGGGUUUAAUGUUUAGUGUUUUAGGUUAGUGGUUAAUGUUUAUUAUUUAGAUUUCGGGUUUACGGUUUAAGGUUUAGUUUUUUAUAGUUAGUGUCUUACUGUUUAUGGUUCUAAGGGUUUAAGGUUAAUAAAAAAGGACAGAAAUUAAAUUUAUUUCAGUGUUUAUGCAUUNNNNNNNNNNNNNNNNNNNNNNNNNNNNNNNNNNNNNNNNNNNNNNNNNNNNNNNNNNNNNNNNNNNNNNNNNNNNNNNNNNNNNNNNNNNNNNNNNNNNGCCACAAAUAUGGAUUAGUAUGAAAAACGAUGCCGUUUUACUCCGUUUUCCUGGUGGCGUUUAUAUAAAAACGCCGCAAAUUUGUUUCAGAAAUGGCAAAACGUUGCGUUUUGAUCUGUGUUCUCAGUGGCGUUUUCAACCGCAAGCCGCAAAAGAUUAGAAAUUCGUGGCGUUUUUUAAAACGCGCCGCAAAGUUUGUGCCUGAUACUACAAAACGUUACGUUUUAUAUGUUUUAUUUAGUGGCGUUUUUUGAAAAACGCCGCAAAAUGACUAUACUUUUGGUAUUUUUUGCAAAUUGUAUCAUGUAAAGUGGGAAGUUAUCCUGUAACUGGGAAGGGGAACGGCGCCGUUCUGUUCUUCGCCAUUAGUGGCGCUUUUGAAAAAAGUCGCAAAGUUUUUUUGGGAGUUAAUAAAACUACGCCGUUUUACGUUGCUAUUACUGGCGCUUUACAUAAAACGCCGCAAAAUUGUAUUUAUGUUUAUCGAAAUGUUGUCGUUUUGUCAAUGGUAUUAGUGGCGUUUUUUUGGAAACGCCACAAGCUUGAGUUAAAUGUUGGGGAAACGACUUCGUUUGAUCUUAUAUUUAGUGGCGGUUUACUUAAAACGCCGCAACAUUGUUCUAACAUUUAUAGAAACGCUGCCGUUUUUUAAAUGUUAUUAGUGGCGAUUUUUUUAAAACGCCACGGGUUUGAGGUAAGUGUUGCUGAAGCGACUGCGUUUUGAUUUAUAGUUAGUGGCGCUUGAACUAAAACGCCGCAAAAAUGUUUUAACUUUUAUCUAUACGAGGCCGUUUUGCUGUAUUAUUAGUGGCGUUUAUUCAAAAACGCCACAGGUGUGCGCUAUUUGUUGAUGAAACGGCUGCGUUUCGACUUAUAAUUAGUGGCGCUUAUUUAUAAACGCCGCAAAUGGUUAAUUUUUUAGAUGAAAACGGCGUCGUUUUUUUCCAUCAUUCUGACCAAAAUUGGAACCCGAUAUUUUCAUCUGUUAUCCCCCAAAGCCUCCAUCAGAUUUCCCCAAAAUUCAUUUUCCCCCCAAAUCCCUAAAAUUUCCCCUAAUCCCUAACAGCUCCCCAAACCUGACCACCUGCUACUCUGCCGUCUCCUGUGCUGUAUCACUUUCUCUGUCCGUCUCCGGUGCCGUAACCAUCGGUAAGUUCGUCCUUUUAAGCAAGUAACUGUUUUUUUUUAUUUUUCCCUUUCCUCUCGUCUCGCUUCCAGUGAAGGCUAAAGCGGCUCCUUUCUUUCAGCUACCGACGAUUUGAGGCUUCAACUUCCCAGAAGCUCCAAGGCUGAAACCGAGGAGAAGACGCUAAAAUUACACUUUUCGGACUCCAUCUUCAGUUUUGGCCGAUACCCUUUCCAAGGUAUAAAGCUACUGUUUUGAAUCCACUUAUUUGGUCCGGUGACUGUCAGUGAUUUCUAUCUAUAUUUUGUUUUUAUUAAAUUUUCAUCCAAAGGUACCUAAUGGGUAUUCUUCAAUUUUUGUUUUAAUACUUGUUUGGUUGAGUUGAAGCCAAUCCAUUGUUUAUACAAUAGACAUGAAAAUGGUGAUUGCCAAUCCAUUGUUUGGUUCAGUUUACAUCUGGCAUGUUAAAUUGCAAAAUAAUUUUUUAAUAUCUUUUUCAUAUUUUUUAAUUUAACUUUGCAAAAUAGUUUUUAAACAUUGUUUUAUAGUACUAUAUAAUGUAUUUCAAGUAAUAACAAUAAUAAUCUAAACAAUUAAAUUCAUUUUUUAAUAUAUAAUUUUAAUUUUGGAACUAAUUAAUUUAAUAACAAGUUUAUUUAAAUAUUAAAUUUUAUUAAUAAAUAUCAAUAUCUAAUCCAAUAACCAUUCUGCUCAAUUUCAAUUUAUCAUCUACCUAAAUAUUAUAAUACAAAUUUAGAUAUGUUUUUGUAAUAAAUUUUUUAAAUUUGUAGAUGGUAAAAUAUGAAAAUGUAAGAAUGUUUGCAAUAAUUAAUUUUAGUUAUAAAGCAAUAUCUCUAGCAAUAGGAAUGGUAAAAUAUGAAAAUGUAAGAAUGCUCUAGAUUAUAUGAUACAUACACAGGAGGAUACUGUUAAAGUAGCAAUUCAUCAUGUAGCGUAUAUAAUAUGAUAGUUUAAUUGGCAAACGUGAAAUAGUGCAGUGGAUGAAACCCAAUAUUUUCUAAAGUAUUUGAAUUUUUUUUAAAAUUGGUAAAGUUUUAAGCUGCCAUUUAAUGUUUCCAAGUAAUAUUUGGUUGUGAUAUCGAUAAAAUUUUACAUAUUUGAUAGCUAAAAUGAAAAAAAAUAUUUGCUGCUAACUAAUCAUGGUUCAUCUAUUGUAGGCAGAAUUAAUAUUUGGUGCAACUUAAUACAUAUCUGACCAUUGACAUCUGGUUUGCUGCCUGUGUUUUGGCCGAACUAUUGUUUCGGCAGGUACAUGUUAAAAUUUGACAGUUUUUCCCUUCUUUAUAUGCAUUCUCCCAAAUCAGUUAACAAAAUAAAUAUUUCUCACUGCAGUCUCUCUUUGCUGGUGAGAGUGAAGUAGACAAAGUUGAGUGAAAUAUUAAGGUAUGUUUUAGUUCAUAACUUAAAUCAGUAAUAGUUUUAUCAUGAUGAUUAGGGAAAAAUGUUUCUUUUGGGGCUCUGGUUUUGUAUAUAUGUAAUUGGUUUUGGAUGUGCUUUAGCUUAUGCUUCAUUUUACUUAUUUUACAUUUGCCAUGUACUUUUCUGACUUAUCUUUUCUGUUAUCAUCCAUCAACGAUUGCUAUAUAUGUUGAGCAAAAUAGAAGCAAUUUAAUAAAUUGUACUGGGAAUUGGAUUAAAUUUUUUUAUUUUAAAAUUAUUCGAAAUUUCUUAACUAUAUGUUACAUUAAAUAACAAAUUAAUCCACUUUCUUUUCACAUUUAAGUUUCAUUGAUAUCAAAUAUGCUUAUUUGUUGUAUACAUAUUAUUCCAUAUCGCAACUAAAUUAUUUCGAAAAUGAAGGUUAUUUAUGUCUAAAUAAUAUAAACAUUUGGUUUAAAGCUUGUAUAUAGUUUGCAAAUAUUUAUAUGUUUUCCUCCAAAAUUUUGGUUUUUCCUUUAGUUGCUAUUUUAAUCACGGAAAAUUAGUUUGUUUUGUUUUCUUUUAUUUAAUUUGAAUCAUGGAAAAAAAUUUCAAACUUUUAAUUUAUUUUUAAGUUUAAUUUUAGAUAACUUGCAAAAAUUUAGUUAAAACUAACAUAACAUACAUAAGUUAAUUCAAAGUUAUUUUUUAUUUGUUUUGAAGCUAAAUUUCACAUAACAUACAUAAAUUAAAGUUAAAAUUCAAAUUUAUUAUAUUUUUAAUAUAUUUUUAGAAUUUAAUUUAACUUAUUACUAAUAUAUAUAUUAAAUUUAUUACUUAAAUAUGUUACUUAAAUACAUUACUUACUAAAAUUUAAGUAAGUUUACUUAUAUGUAAAAUUUAAGUAUGUUGCGGGAAUACAUUACUUACUAAAAUUUAAGUAAGUUUACUUAUAUGUAAAAUUUAAGUAUGUUACUUAAAUACAUUACUUACUAAAAUUUAAGUAAGUUUACUUAUAUGUAAAAUUUAAGUAUGUUGCGGGAAUACAUUACUUACUAAAAUUUAAGUAAGUUUACUUAUAUGUAAAAUUUAAGUAUGUUACUUAAAUACAUUACUUACUAAAAUUUAAGUAAGUUUACUUAUAUGUAAAAUUUAAGUAUGUUACUUAAAUACAUUACUUACUAAAAUUUAAGUAAGUUUACUUAUAUGUAAAAUUUAAGUAUGUUACUUAAAUACAUUACUUACUAAAAUUUAAGUAAGUUUACUUAUAUGUAAACUUACAUAAUACAUUACUUUUAACUUACAUAAUACAUAACUUUUAAAAUUUUUUUAUAUAAACUUACAUGAUACAUAACUUAUAUAUUUUUUUAUAUAAACUUACAUAAUACAUUUAACUUACAUAACUUACACAACUUACAUAACCUUCAUAAUACAUUUAACUUACAUAACUUACAUAAUGCAAAACUUACAUAACAACUUACUUACAUAACAUACAUUACUUAAAAUAUUUACAUAAUACAUAACUUAGUACAUAGUUUACAUAAUACAUAACUUAGUACAUAACUUACAUAAAUUUUUUUCUAAAUUGCUUACAAAAAUUAUAUAACUUACAUAACUUACAUUAAUUAAAUAACUUACAUAACUUACAUAACUUACAUAACUUAAAUAACUUACAUAACUUACAUAUCUUACAUAACUUAUAUAAAUUAAAUAACUUAAAUAACUUACAUAAUUUACAUAACUUACAUAACUUACAUAUUACAUAACCUUCCUAACUUACAUUAUUGUUUAAUACAUAACUUAGUACAUAACUUACAUAACUCAUUUAUAGUUAUAACUGGUGUUUUGACUAACCCGUGCAAAUUAUUGUCAACGUCAGACUUCAAGAAUUAAGAAAUGGACCGGUCUUGGAUGAAUUUGUCAAGGGUUAGCAACGAUUAUCGAAAUGGAGUACAAUAUUUUCUAAAUUUUGCAUUUCAAUAUGCAAGUCAGGAGAACAUGAUUCUUUGCCCAUGUAAGAAGUGUGUCAACUUAAACUGGCAUUGUCGUGAGGUUGUAUACGAGCAUCUAAUUGUUGAUGGGUUUGUUCGGGGUUAUAAACAAUGGCUUUUUCAUGAAGAAUGCCCGCCUAGUACUUCCUUUUCAACGAUGGAUGUAUCUUACUCUGGUCCUGCUUACCAUCAGUCUAAUAGAGGGGAUGACAUGGAAGGUAUGUUGCGGGAUGCAUUUAAUAUGCACAAUCAUGGUGUCCGGUCCUUCCCAGCGGACUUUGUGGCUUUUGAUGAUUGUAAUAUUGGGAGAAAUGCUUUUACCGAAUCGGGAAGUAGUGUACCUCAUGAAGAGCCGAAUGAAGAAGCGGCGAAGUUCUACGCGCUAUUUAAUGACAUGAACGAAGAACUGUAUGAGGGAUCAAAAUUUUCAAAAAUGUCUUUCUCUGUUCAUCUUUUUCAGUUAAAAUGUUUGGGAGGGUGGACCGGAAACUCGUUGACAAUGCUGUUAGAGUUUUUAAGAGAAAUGUUUCCGUUUGCAAAAAUCCCUCAAUCAUGCAAAGAUAUGAAGAAAAUGAUAAAAGAUUUAGGCCUUGGGUACAACAAAAUCCAUAGUUGCCCAAAUGACUGUAUGUUGUAUUGGGGCGAUUGAAAUGACCAACAGUGCUGUCAUGUAUGCGGCCAAUCCUGUUGGAUUAGUAGAAACACAGAAGAUGGGAAGGCCGACGAAAAUGGUACACAGUCGGGAAAAAAGCCAGUUAAGAUUUUACGGUAUUUUCCCCUGAUACCAAGGCUUCAAAGGCUAUUCAUGUCGUCCAAGACAGUGGAGUCAAUGACGUGGCACCAUGAUGGACGAACCGAUGAUGGAUUACUAAGGCAUCCGGCAGAUUCUUUAGCUUGGAAAUCAUUUGACAAUAAAUUUCCAGGCUUUGCAAGCGAUCCUAGGAGUGUGAGGCUUGGGCUAGCAUCUGAUGGAUUUAAUCCUUUCAAGAUCAUGAGCACUGCGUACAGUACUUGGCCAGUAGUGCUUGUUCCUUAUAAUCUGCCUCCGUGGAUUUGCAUGAAGCAAUCUUCCCUUAUCUUAUCUAUGAUUAUCCCUGGUAAGAAAGGGCCCGGGAAUGAUAUCGACAUUUAUUUACAGCCACUUAUUGAAGAGUUAAAACAAUUAUGGGCUGGUGUCGAGACAUACGAUGUGGUGAGAAAGGAGAACUUUAAUUUACGUGCGGCUUUGAUGUGGACCAUUAAUGACUUUCUCGCUUAUGCCAAUUUAUCCGGUUGGAGUACCAAGGGUCGUUAUAUGUGUCCUUGUUGUGCUGCACAAACAUGUUCGCAAUGGUUGUACAAUGGGAAGAAGUUUUCUUACAUGGGGCAUCGUCGGUGGUUACCGGAAAAUCAUAGAUUUAGAUUUCAGAGUUCUGUAUUUGACGGCACUGAAGAGUUCAGAGAAGCUCCUUCCCAGACCAGUGGCUCUGAAAUCUUGUUCAUGUUAGAAGAUAUGAAUUUCAUUUAUGGGAAGAUGAACCAACCGCCAAACACGCAGAGAAACAGAAGAUCAAAUGAUGAAAGGGAUGAAAGUUUCGACGAAGAGGACGAUCCUAAUGAGGCGGACUUGUGGAAAAAAAAGUAUUUUUUUGAGUUGUCUUAUUGGGAGCAUCACCUUUUACGACACAAUCUUGAUGUUAUGCACAUUGAGAAAAAUGUCUGCGAGAACAUUGUGGGUACAAUUUUGAACGUCGACGAAAAAUCAAAAGACAAUCUUCAGAGUCGACUUGAUUUAGUCCAAAUGGGAAUUCGGCCUGAUCUUCAUCCCAAUCCACUUCUGAAUGGGAAAUAUCGGUUGCCGCCUUCUAUUUUCUCAAUGUCCAAGACGGAGAAAGAACUGUUUUGCAUGGUGUUGAAGGAUAUAAAGGUCCCAGAUGCGUAUGCAUCAAAUAUAUCUCGAUGUGUUAGUGUUAAAGAUCGAAUAUUAUAUUCGCUAAAAUCACAUGACUAUCACAUCUUGAUGCAAGAUUUAAUGCCAGUUGCUCUACGAUGUUGUAUGUUCAAGAAGGUGACGUCUUGUAUCAUUGAACUAUCCAACAUAAUGAAAGUCAUUUGUGGCAAAGUUUUGGAUGUUCAAGAACUUCAGAAGGUACAGGAUCGAGCUGCUUUGACUUUAUGCAACAUGGAGAAAAUCUUCCCACCUUCCUUCUUCACCAUUAUGGUUCACUUGAUAAUUCAUCUCCCGCACAAAGCAAUUCUUGGCGGACCCGUUUUCUAUCGAUGGAUGUAUCCCAUAGAAAGGUGUUAAAGAAGUAUUUUUAAAAUUUUCCUUCAUUCACCUCUAUGCCUUUAGUUACAACUUUUGAUAAUGUUGUAUAUUGUGUUUAGGUUCCUAUCCAAAUUAAAGUCUUACUGCCACAACAAGCGAUAUCCAGAAGGAUCGAUUGCUGAAGGCUACUUGGCAGAGGAAUGUAUGACCUUCUGCUCAAGAUAUUUGGAAGAUGUCGAAACAAGGUUGAACAGACCAAAUAGGAAUGCUGGACUCACGGACUAUAACUUNNNNNNNNNNNNNNNNNNNNNNNNNNNNNNNNNNNNNNNNNNNNNNNNNNNNNNNNNNNNNNNNNNNNNNNNNNNNNNNNNNNNNNNNNNNNNNNNNNNNNNNNNNNNNNNNNNNNNNNNNNNNNNNNNNNNNNNNNNNNNNNNNNNNNNNNNNNNNNNNNNNNNNNNNNNNNNNNNNNNNNNNNNNNNNNNNNNNNNNNCAUUUUUUAACAUAGUGAGUACAAACAAAUAUUGAGAUCUCGUUCGCGCUCCCGAAGAACACAACAUCGAGAUAUCAAUAAGUUGUUUACAGAAUCUUUUUAUGAAUGGUUAAGCCAAACGGUAUGCAGUUGGAGCUUCUGCUUACAAAUUAUAAUGCUUUCUCAUAACAUUUUUAAUUACUCAGUUUACUUUCCAUUCAAUAGGUUUGGAGUGGAAAGAGCGUAAACGACGAAGUUAAAUGGCUCUCCCAAGGUCCAAAUCGAGUGGUUAAAAGAUAUAGUGCUUUCCUUAUCAACGAAUUCAGAUUUCAUACAAAAUAUCGCGAGAGGUUGAGGAGAACGCAAAAUUGUGGAAUAGUUGUUAAUUCUGCAAUUACAAGUUAUGCUAGUGCUAGGGACAAUAAUCCUGUCGAGGGAAAUGUGGAAUAUUUCGGACAUCUUACUGACAUAAUUGAGUUGGAUUACUACGGCAAAUAGAAAGUUGUCUUAUUUCGAGGUGAUUGGGCCGAUGUUAAUACAGCUCGUGGAAUCAAGCAAGAUUAAUUUGGUUUUACAAUGGUGAACUUUGACCGAUUGAUUCACACAGCACAACAACUGAUAGAUGAGCCGUAUGUAUUCUCAAGUCAAGUCAAACAAGUUUUUUACUCAAAAGAUCCAACUGAUGAGGGUUGGUACGUUGUACUCCGUAACAUCCCUAGAGACUUGUUUGACAUGGGCAGUGCAAGUAGAGAUAACAUCGACGAUAGAUCAGAAACUUUGCCAUUUCUAGAACAAAACUUAAAUGAUAAUAUCCCUAGUACUAGUGCACAAUUUCAAUGGGUUCGUCAGGAUACGGAUGAAGAUAUUUACGAAUAAUGAUGUAGUAAGAUUUUACGAUUGUUUAAUUAUAUGUAACUUACAUUAGUAUUAAAUUUUGGUCUUAUUAUAUAUUUCAACUAUUUUAUAUGUGCUGUUAUUGUUGUAAUUAGUUAUUAAGUUUAAUUACAUUUUAUGUGUAUUGCAGAUAAAAUGCCUAGAAGAAAAAUUAUAAGGGAAAGCAUUGUUCAAAAUGAUCCAAACUCGACAGAAACAAAUAGUACUGAACAACAGACAGCAAUUGGAUCUUCGAAUGUUCCGAUUACACCUGAGGAUCCUACGGAAGUUCAAAGUAACUUACAUUAAUUACAUGCGUGCUGACUUAUAAUUGAUUUAUUUUUCAAAUUCUUAUAUUAUAAUAUACCAUUUGUAGCUGAAAAUGGUGGGACGCGCAGAGGUCGAGGACCCUAUAGGUAGGCGAGAGUUAUACNNNNNNNNNNNNNNNNNNNNNNNNNNNNNNNNNNNNNNNNNNNNNNNNNNNNNNNNNNNNNNNNNNNNNNNNNNNNNNNNNNNNNNNNNNNNNNNNNNNNGGAUCAGAAGCUCGACUUUUAGCAGGAUACAUGGGCAUUUUAGCACGAAAUGCGAAUAUGUUACCUAUCAACUACGAGUCAUGGCGUCAAAUGCUCGAUAGCAACAAAAACCAAGCCCUCGAUAAUAUUAGGGUAACAAAAUGUUAAUGUCAUCUGUAAUGCUUGGGAAAUAGUUUCAUUUAUAUUUACUUUAUUAACUCGUGUUUUUUGUAGGCGAGGUUUGCUUUAGAGGUCUCGGAUGCUUAUGUAAAGAAGGCAUUGGGAAAAAGAUGGAGAGACAAUAAAAUUACUUUGAAGAAAAAUUAUUAUAAGACAAAAACAACCCUCGAUGAGAAAUUGCAAAAUGUCCCGCCGGGUAUGUUGAGGUACCAAUGGGAAGAUGCGGUUAGAUUUUGGCAUUCUCAAAAAGGCGAGGUACGANNNNNNNNNNNNNNNNNNNNNNNNNNNNNNNNNNNNNNNNNNNNNNNNNNNNNNNNNNNNNNNNNNNNNNNNNNNNNNNNNNNNNNNNNNNNNNNNNNNNAUUUUUAUAACGUAGGAUCGUGAACGAGUUGGAAAAAGUAGCCGGCAGCAACAAAAAUUCACUCACACAGCCGGGUCGAGAAGUUUUGCAUGUGUAGCUGAGGCGGAGGUAUUUUUAAUUUUUUAAUAUUCUCAAAUAUGUAUAACUUUCUAUUAAAUAAUAUUUUUACUACUAUAUUGUAGGAACGGUCGUCCGGUCAAAAAGUUGGACGCCUUCAACUUUUUGAAAUUACACAUAAGAAGAAAGAUGGAUCUGUUAUGACUCCUGAAGCUGGUGAAAUUAUGGUACGUUUACUUAAUACGAUUUGACUUAUUUUAGUUAUUUAUAGUGUUUAUUUUCUAAUGUUUUAAUUCAUUGCUUGUAAUGCGACUAUUGUUAUAUUGCAUUUGUUUUUUUUAAUAUAUAUUGCGUUCCUAACUAUGUGAUUUAUUUAUUAGGAAAACUAAAGGAAAAAAAGACGGAGUACGAAGCGAUUGCUUCUAGUGAUAGUUCUGUUCAUCUUGAAGACAUUGAUAACCGGAUUAUUGCUGAAGUUUUGGGUCCUGAAAAGUAUGAUCGGGUUCGAUUUCAAGGAUCUUUUAUCAGCCCAACCCAAUAUUUUGGAUCCAGCUCGCACCAAUACAUGGCUUCGGGGAGUCAAUCUCAAGCUGAAGUUCAGAGGUUAAAAGACCAGAUAGUUCAGAUGCAAGCGACCACAUUUGAGGUUCAAAGGAAAUAUGAAGAACUUCAGCAACAACUUAAAGCAGAUGCGGCAGCGAGGGAAGCAGAUGCUACAGCGAGAGAAGCAGAGGCCACAGUGAGAGAAGCAACAAGAGAAGCAGCGAGAGAAGCAGCGAUAGAAGCAGAUGUUCAAAAGAAAUAUGAAGAACUACAGCUACGACUUCAAAAAGAUGCGGCAUCGAGAGAAGCAGAGCAGAGCAAAAAGUACGACGAACUUCAACAGCAACCUCAGACUAUGAUGAAGAUGUUUCAGCAGUCGCAACUUCCGCCGUCAUACUGUAUAUUGCAUAAAUAUUUUUAUUAUUUUAACUUUAAACUUUUUUGUAAAGAAAAGUAUGAAUUCACUUUUAUUUAUAUCAAUUAAUAUUAUUUUAGUCAUUAUAUUAUAUAAAUUUAUUGUUUUUGGUUAGUUUAGAUCUGGUUGCUUUUGAUUUGUUGUUGCAGGAGGGCUGAAAAAAACAGAAAAUUUUAUUUUAAAAAAAUCCUAAAAUUAGUGGCUUUUUUAAAAAAGCGCCGCUAAAAGUCAUAUCAAAUAGUGGCGUUUGUGAAAUAAGCGCCUCUAAAUAACACUAUUAUUCGCGGCGUUUUUGAACAAGCGCCGCUAUAGAACAUUACUUUUAGCGGCGUUUUCUUCCAAAGCGCCGCUAAAGAACAUGAUCUUUAGCGACGUUUUUUCAUAAGCGCCGCUAAAGAACAUGAUCUUUAGCGGCGUUUAUUAUCUUAGCGCCGCUAAAGAACAUGAUCUUUAGCGGCGUUUUUUCUGUAAGCGCCGCAAAAAGUUAGCGACGUUGUCAUUAGCGGCAUUUUUUUGUGGCGCUUCUUCAAGUGCCGCAAAUUGCUUUAGUGGCGUUAAAAAGCACCGCUAAAGGCCUAAAAAAACGCCGCUAAAAACCUGUUCUGGUGUAGUGCUUACAUGUGCCUAGAGGUGAUAAUGGGCCGAGCCGGGUUCAGGUCGGGCCUAGACAAAAUUUUAGGCCCGUUUUCUGGUUCUGGGCCGGGCCAGUCUAAAAUAUGAGUCUAAAAAUUUAUCCGAGCCCGACCCGACCCAUAUUUGAUUAAAAAUAAAAAAGAUAUAUAUUUAAUAUAUAAUUCGGAUUAAAAGUAUAAAAAAUAUAUAUUUAAUAAAAAAUAUAUUUGAUUAAAAAUAUAAAUAUAUACAUGUUUAAUAUAUAAUUUGAGCUGGGGGCCCGGGCAAAAAAAGUCUUAUCUUAGGCCCGGCCCAUUUUUUAAACGGGCCUCAAUUUUUUACCCAAACUCAUAUUUCAGGCCUAUAUUUUUACCCAAAUCCUUCCAUUUUUCGGGCGAACCAUCGGGCCGGGCCGGGUAACCCAACCCAUGAUCACCUCUACAUGUGCCUAGUCGUGUAAGGUUUUUUUUCUCGAGUCGUGUAAGCUUUUGGUAUAUAUCAUAUUUUAUAUAAAUGACUAAUUUAAUAUUUUUAAUUUUUCUUUAAAAAAAAGUUUACCUCUUGACUUUACUUAUAUAGGGAACUGCUUAAAGAUUUUAGCUAAAUUAGCGCUAAACUAGCCUCCAAAAAUACUUUUGAAAAAUAUUGUUAAAUUAGCGCUACUAGUUAGCCUUCAAUCACCGUUGAUCUACGAUUCAAACAAUAUGCUAUGAAUUUGAAACCUAAAAUCAUACAAAGCUAUGAUCAUUAACAUAUUUUAUAACAUAAUUACAUUGAUCCCUUUUCGUAGCCGAGGCCAUUUACAAGCCCUUGAGCAAGCAUUUCUACUUUACAAUAUAGCUUACAUGAUUAAUAUUGAUACACACGAACUACUUGCAUUGUCUCUUAUCCACACACAUAGGCGUGGCUGAUGAAUUCAUCGUGACCUGUAGCGGUGAGCAAAACUUGAUUCGAUUAAAAAAUUAAUUUUUUUCGAUUUUCGAGUUAAUCAAAUCGAUUUGUUCGAAUUAUUUGAGCUAAUAUAAGUAAUUCCAGUUUCAAGUUCAAAUUGAGUUGAAUUUUACAAUUCAAAUAACAAAUUGGUUUAAAAACCUUUUUAGUCCUUGUCAAGUUUGAAAAUGAGCAAAUUGAGCUCUCUUAACAAAAAUUUCAAAAAAAUUUCAAAAAUCAAAAUAAUUUUUAAAAUCUAAAAUAUUUAUAAAAAAUUCAAAAUUUUUAUUUUUAAAUAAAUUAUAAAAAUUUCAAAAAAACUCUAAAAAUAUAUAAAAGAAUUUGAAAAAUUAAAAAAUUUCUAGAAUAAUAAUUUUGGGACAAAAAUAAGUUAAUUAAUGAUUCAAGUUUAUCAUACUAAAUUAUUUUUUUAUUAUUUUCCUUUGAAAAAAAUUUCAAAUAUUUUUCAAAUAUAUGUGCUAUAACAUGAAAUUAGUUAUAUUGUAAUAAGAUUUUGAUUUGCAUAUUUAAUUUUUUUAAUUUAACUCGAAUAAUUUCACUCAAUUCGACUUGAUUCGAAUUUUACUUCAUUCAACUCGAUUUAAAAAUUUUCAAAUUGAGUUAGGAUGAUAAAAUAGGACUCGUCAAAUCGAUUAACUCGAAAUUAUUCACUUGAUUCAAUUGAAUGCUUGAUGCCCACGAAACCAACUAAAAAUUCGACUAAGGCAAGUGUACAUAUCAAUUAAUAGUAUAACUAUGGUGACCAAAUGUAUCGUUCCCAGAAAAAAGCUAAAAGUACUAGUAAUUACAUUCUUUUUAUUAUUUAAUUGAUAAAUUAGAGUGAUUAAUUAAAGAAAAAAGUAACUAAACUAAUUAAUUACGAACGCGACAACGAACAAAUCAGAAAAAUAACCGAUUAACAACCAAUAAUCAAAACAAUAUUAAGGAAAGAGUUCACCUAGACUUCAUUUGUCACUAUCAAUCUAAAUUAUGCAAUUUAUUUACUUAAUAUCUUGAUCCAUAGAAAUUUCUAAAUUAUGCUAAUAUAUCUUUCAAGAGCAACUGACUUUAGGUUGAUUAAUUAAAUUUUUUAAAAAAUUAAAACCCCUAUUAUCGCCUUAACUCAAUUUAUGGAUUUCCCUAUUAGGUUUGACUCUAAUCCGGUAGAUUUAUAUUGUCCUAUUUUUAGAAUUGCAUGCAACUUCACUCAAUACGCUAAAUUUACUAUUAAACAUGGUCUAUUCCUCCACCGAUUUAAGCACAUAAAAAAUGAAUCAAUAAUCUAAAAAUAUUAAACCAAGAAUUAAACACGCAUAAUUGAGAACAAGAUCUAAGUUUUUUAUUGCGUAAAAUAAAAAUUAAAAGACAAAAUUCACCACUGGGUUCAUCUCCCUUAGGUAUUUAGAAAAUUAGAGACAAUAUAUCCGGAAGAAAAAAAAACUCAUUACAAUCUCCUUAGAAAUCAAUUGAAUGUUUUAGUCUUUAUAGAAAUCUGCUUUAAUGGUGUUUUUUGAGUUGUUUUCUUAAAUAUCCUAUGAUGACUUUCUUCUAUCUUCUUAUAUUUUUGUCAUAUAUAUAUAUAUCUUAAAAUGCUUAAAAAACUUAAAAAUCGCGUUUUUUUCGCUAAAUUCGUGCAAUUGACACGGCCUGCCACAUGGCUGUGUGGCAGGCCAUGUGGAAAGGGUCAGCCCGUGUGACUCUUGUACCUUACUCCAAUUUUUCGAUUUUAGCUCAUUUUGCUCCUAAAUGUUCUCUUAAGUAUAAAAACAUAAAUUUAAAUGAUUGAAAGUAUAAAAUUUAUGGUUAAGAUCGAAUAAUCACAAAAAAAAAUACAUUAAAAUUAAGAUUAAAACAUGUUACUUUUAAUAUUUAUCGACGCUCACCCCUACUGACCUGGGCUUUGUCCUUACAAGUUGCCGACAUGAAUUUUCCGAUCACCGCUUUUUCCUUCUCGGUUGUCUUGAUGAUGAUCAAGAACAAUACCCGAUAAAGCACAAUCAUUGCAAACAAGAUAGCAAGGUCAACCCAUUUAGAGUAUGCCAUUUCAAUACGCCAAGUUUGCUUCAAAAUUUCUUCACCAGUAACGGCUGCUGAGCUUCCAUUUCCAGCUUGAACAUUGGGAAAAGUCAAGCCUACAAACUCGUUCUUAAACAGUCCCUGAUAUGCAUACUUGUGGAAAGCGAUGUAGUACAAGGGAAAUUUAAACACUGGCUUGGGAAGAUCAGAGGGUAAUCGGAAGAAACCGCCAACCAAGAUCAUUAGCCCUUGAAUUCCAGCACCCACUAUGAUUCCCAUCAGGAAAUUGGGUACCACACUAGCUACAAUCAUCAUUAAGCUCUCUACCAACAUCAUGCAAGCGAAUAAUAUGAUGACGAAGAACAAGAAAUGUUGAUAUCCAUGGUGAAGUCCUGGAAGGAAAUAUGUAAUUGAGCCUGGAAUGAGUGCUACCAUUGCCAAGAAUGGCAGAGAAGAUAACGUAUUUCCGAUGACAAAGGGAGUGACACCGUAGUGCCCAUUUAGUCUUUCACGUUCGAAUACCUUCAUUUCCUCUACAAAAGAAGGGAAUCCACCAAUGGCCAUGAAGGUUAGAAAUGAUGCCACAAACAUCAACAGUGAACCUCUAGCCUGAAAAAAAAAAAAAACCCUUAUAUGAUCACUUGCAGUGUUGAAAUCGAUCAAUCAAUAUUAUGUAUUCAUUUACGAACCUGGAUUGAUCCAUUGUCCAUCCCGACGUGGCUAAACACAGAGCCAAGUACAAUAGAAAGUGAAAUGUAGAUACCUAGACGCAACCAAUAGUAGCCAAGGUCACGAGACAUGUUAAUGAAAGAUCUGCUGGUAAGGACAUGGCAUUGGGUGAAGAACCCAGACCGCCUUUUACUUUUCUGCAAUGCUCCACCACCCUGACAGGCACCAUAAUCACGUAUCCAAUAUAUAUGUUCAACCCUUUAAAUUAUCCAUUUUAGAUCUACUCGGAGAGGGAAAAAAAUAAUGAGCUGCUAUCAACUAACCUGUUUACAAAUCUGAGCAAUCUCUUUCUGAACCAUUUGGUAUAUAUCUGAAGACUUAUAUGACUUUACUAGGAUAUCAAUAACUUCCUCUGUGGGGAUUCCAUUAGCAAACCCUAGCUCAAUAUCCUGUUUAAAAUUGCAAAAACGUCAGACUGGAUACUUUAUUUACGUUGGGAAAUAUUUGUAAACUAGUUUCUGAAGAGGGAGAAUAUAUACCUUGCCAAAAUCCUUGUUAAUGGUUUUGAGGAAGUGAUCAGAUGGGUUCUGGAAACUCGGGCAAGGGAAUCCAUUUAAAGCAAAAAACUACAUAUUAUUUAGAAAAAUAGGAGGGAUUAGAUGUUUUUCCAUGUAUAUUAUAUUAUAUUAUGCUAGUGAAAAAGAUCAUACUUCGUUUGCUGCAGAAACAGGACCAAAGUACACAGUUUUGCCUGCAGAUAAAAGGUAGAGAUUGGUGAAUAGUUGAAAUACUUCAGCGCUAGGCUGAUGGAUGGAUGCAAUGAUUGUUCUUCCAAUGUUAUCUUUCUGAUUCAGGCUUGCGAUUCUGCUCAUCACAUAAUAUGAAGCAGCACUGUCAAGCCCACUAGUGGGUUCAUCCAAGAACAAAAGCUUAGGGCGUGUCAAUAUUUCAAUGCAAAUGCUAACUCUCCUCUUUUGGCCACCGCUUAAUCCCUUAGCACCCCACCCACCAAUCCGAGUAUCCAUGGCGUCUUGCAAACCCAUUUCUCUGAUCGUCAUUUCGGCUCUCUCCUUCUUCUCAGAUUUGGUCAUUGUAUCUGGUAACUGAAGCUGAGCAGAGUAGUAAACAGCUUCUCUUACAGUCAGUGUUGUAAUCAGUGCAUCGUCUUGGGUGACAUAUGCCUGCACGGCAGUUAUUAAUUUUAUUUGCAUGAAAAAAGUGAUAACUUUUUAAUGAAAUUCCUUACAGAUGUUCCAUAAGCCAAGGCUUGUUUACGUCCGUUGAUAAGAAUAUCUCCUUCUUGCCUUGUUUUGGGACCCUGUCUUCCUGCUAAGGUAUCAAGAAGUGUGGACUUGCCACAACCCGAAGGACCCAUUACGGCCAACAGCUCACCAGGGUGGGCGUAGCCAGCCAGGCCCUGAAGGAUCGGUCUUCCACCAGCAACCGUGACCCACAAAUCGUCCCAAGUCAAGAACACUCCAUCCUCCAUGAAGAUGUUACUUCGGCUACCUGUGUUACUCCCUGGCAUUGGAUUAAGGUUUUCAGCCAUGCAGGUUUCUGGUCCACCCUGCAUUGCUGGUUCUAAUUUACGAAAAGAAGUUGCCGUAGUUAAUGUAACUAAGAUAAAAAUGUUAUGGGGCAAACGAGAAAUAUAUAUACUGUAUUUAUAAUGGGAUCUUAGUGUGGAACUGUGGAUUUACAUAUAUAUAUAUAUAUAUUCAAUGUUAAAUUACUUUCUUCGACCACAAAUACAAUAUAUUUGGAGGAGCAUAUGAAACACGAGAUCUUUUUAGUAUGAAAACAAAAAUCAGUUCAUGUCAAACAGUUAAACUAAAUAGACUGAUGGUGAUUAUUGAUUAACCCAUCACAUUAUCCAUGGUGGGUUGUUGACGAGUAUAUAUUAAAGAAAAAAAAGCAAUAUCUACUGUUAGAACCAAAGAAAAAAAAAACAAGCGUCUCCUGCUUCUUAUGGCGAUUUUUCUCAUUGAGAGGAACGGCCGAGCUGGCUGAGAGUAACGACAAAGGAGGCGGUUUCACUGUUAGUGUGUAAUUAUUAUAUCCAGAAACUUCAUCAGGUAGUCAAUACAGGCUGCGGAAAAUAAUAUUGUUAUUCAAUUUUGAAGGUUUGAUGUUGUAGUGGAAGACAUUUAGUGCAUUUAAACGUAUUAUUUUUUUAUUUAAGAGUUAAUAAAAAAUUAUGAGUAGUUUAUAUUAUAUAAAAAAAUAUAAAUAUGAAUAUAUAAUGAGAUUAAUGUUAAUUUUUUUAAGUAUUACAUAUAUAUAUAUUUCUAUAUUUUUUUAACUAGGUUUGUAUUAUAUUUAUAUCUAUUCUAUUGUGCAAGUGUGAUUGAAUUAGUAUCGCAAGUCUGUUAAAAUUAACUUAUUUUAAAAAAUUACUAAAAUAAUUCUUUAUAUAUUUUAAAUAAAUUAUAUGAUUACUAGAGUACUUUUGUAUUUUUCUUAUUUUAAAAAACAAUAAAAAAAGUUGCAAAUAUUGAGCAUUAAACUUACAUCAACAUUUAUAUGAUCUUUUUUUAUCACUUAAACCAAAGUGAUAUUUUAAUAUUUUUAAACAUUUUAAUUUUAUUACAUAAAUUGUUUCACCUAUAUAUACACAUAUUAUUAUUUAAGUGUGUGAUUCAAUUGGUGGAAUGAGUCAACUUAACAUCAACUUAGUUAAGGAAAUUACUAAAAUAACGUUAUCUAUCAUACUAUUAUUUAGGAAAACUAUAUAAAUAGUCGCCCAACUAUGCCUACGUUCCUGUUUUGGUCACCCGACUUUAAAAUUUUUCAAUUUAGGCACUAAUACUUGAAUUUGUUCUUGUUUUGGUCACCUGCCAUUAAAUUGAUAACGGAAAGCCAUUUUUUAAUUGGUAUAAUAAAACAAUUAGUCCUCAAUACUUAUAUAUUUUAUCAAUUUGAUCCUAAUUCUAAAAUAAUUCAAUAAAUUUAACCCUUCACAUUUACAAAUUCUAUCAAUUUGAUCCUUAAAAUUCUUAACCAAAGUUUUCAGCUUUUAAAACAAAGGCAUUCCUCAACUAUUAAUUGUUUUAUUUAUGGUUGAAAUUAUCCAAUUUGAUAAAUAACCCUUUUUUGUUUAUAUUUUUAAGAAGUUGGUGUUAGAAAUUAACUAAACACCAUUAAAAUAAUAGAAAAUAAUAUAAUAUAUAAUACAAAUAUAUAUAAUUUACUAUUCCACAGUGCAUCCCUCAACUACCUUGAGGCUUUCCUUUAUAUCACCCAUGGAAUCCUCAAGUUUGACAACCCUACCUUCCAAAGUCGACAACAUAUCAAUUGAUCUUCCUGCAUUCCUGAUCCUCUCACGGGUCUCUAGUGGGACAUUCCGAUCCUUUGCUUCUUUCUCCAUCUCAACUUGACACCUUACGAACCUUGACUCAUGAUAGUAACUGUACGGCCAUAGGCGAUAACUUUGCUUCAAAUCCAUCAAAGCCAGCCAAAUUCUAAAAAAAAUUCUCAAAAAAAAAAUUAUUACAAAUGAGGGGGAACACUUAUAUUUAUAGUUGAGCUCUCUCAAAUCCAACGAUACAUUUUAAAUUAUAUCAACAUCUGAUAUUAAAAUCUAUUUAUAAGAUGAGAGUCCUAAGAUAUUUAAACACUCCAUAAUCUUAUCCUUUAGGAUUACAAAACAAUUACCUUGGUAACUCUAAAUUAUUGGAGUGUUUCAUCUGGCCACCAAAUUUCAAGUAGAUGAGUUUUCUUUGAUGUUCCAAUCAAACCAGUCCAAGUGGGUUAAAUGAGUCCAAUUUAAUCAAUUGACUUUAUGGCGCAGUUUCAUGUUCUAUAGUCUCAAACUUUAAUUCGCGGCCCAUGACAAAUACAUGUUUGAUAAAUAUUCUAGUUAUUAUAAUUAUUUGACUGAGUUAAGUGUGAUGAGUUAAAUGACACUACCUCAACUAACUCAAAUAUAACAAAAACUAAUGAAAUUUAAAAAUAGGACAAAGGAAAAUUAUUUAACUAAACCAUUUUAUGUGUAUUUGAUAGGAAAAAUUAUAUUUCAUGGUACGUGAUAACACAAGAUUAUCAGUUAGAUGUACGUUCUAAAAUUUGAAUUGAAUUUAACAUGUUAAACACUUACAAUUAAUAAUACUAGAGGUGCAUGGUAUAUGUUAAUUUAAUAAAAUCAAAUAUUAAUAUGAUUAAUCUUUAAAAUGUCAUAAGUUUUGUUGAUUGAAUUUUAGUUGAAUUAGUAUGUGUAUUAUUGUCAAUGCAGGAAUAUGGGGAUUCGAGUGCGUUGAAGUACAUUAUCUUCUUAUUUACGAGUUGAUGAAAUACUAUGAAUUAUAAACAUUGUGUUAAAUAAAAUAAAUAUAAUUAAAAGAAAUGCCAUUAAAUUUUGGAACUCGUAUAAUUCUUUGAAUACCCUAGGAAUUUGGAAAUGACCCUUUUUCUUUUCUGAAAGCGAAAUUCGAAAAUGACUUUUUUUUCCCUUAAUUCACGGAAAUGACCAAAUGAGUGAUAAAAGGGGAAUGAAUCAAAAGUUCUUCAAUUCACGGAAAAGACCAAAUGAGUGAUAAAAGGGGAAUGAAUCAAAAGUUCUUCAAUUCACGAAAAUCAUGACCAAAUGAGUGAUAAAAGGGGAAUGAAUCAAAAGUUCUUCGCUGAUAAUAUAUAUAUAUAUUUGGUAAAACAAAAACUGAAAGUACUCAAAUUGUUCCUACAACAUCAAAGGCAUCAUUUGUUUUGUCUCUAUAAAUGAGUUCUUAUAAAGAGUGUCGAGAUGCUAAGAAUUGUGACACUAGGCAUGGAGAUUGUACAUUCAUAAUUUAUGGUUGGUUGGGUUCAUUAGGCCAUUGGCCAUUGAAACUCAAGGGUAAAAACGAGCGUAGACACUUCAGGAAUUAUUGGAAAAAUUAUAAUUUUCUAGAAAAUUUGAGGUAUAUUCUCGAUUGGUAAAGGUGGAGAGUUCAAUCAUAAAAUUAUAGCUUUGUCUUCUUCUCCAUGAGACCUUUACAACGCUAUAUUGUAACACCCCUAACCCGUAUCCGUCGUUGGAAAGGGGUUACGAGGCAUUGCAGAACAUAACACGGUUCAAUACAAAUUUGGCUCAAUAACGGGCACAAGGUGAACUUUCUUCAGCGAUUAAAAUAAAAUAAAAAUUUAGAGAAAGUUUCAAACUUAACCUGAACAACAAUAUCAAUUAUAAACAAUCAUGUUAUGCUCUCAUAUUCCAUAUUCAAUUUAAUCAUGUAGCAAGCCAAAAAUUACCAAUUGAGAAAGAAACAUAUCAAUUUAACCAAAACUAACCAACGUUAAUAUCUUAGCAUCCGGAUAACUAUAAAGAAAAAAAAUAUUAUGUCAUUCAAAACAACAAUUACAUUGAACCAAUUCCGAUAGUAAUAAAACAUAUAAUUAAGGUAUUUUAAUUUCUAAGGUCAAUUUGACAAGUCCAUCUUCAACUUGUUAGAUCAGUCCGAAAUUUACAAUAGCAAAAAUCAUGAAAUUCAACUUACAAUUUAUCUUUGAUUUGUCUAAAUUUAUUGGGCAGUAAAGUAACAACAUUAACAUACAGUAUUUAAUCAAUAAUAGCAUGAAACGUAAUCAAUAUGUACAGAUUUGUACAGCAUGAACACAUUAACAAUAUAGCAUAGAUAAGGCACUUAAACAACAUAAAUGACAGCACAUAUUAAUUUCCAAUUACAUCCUUCAACAACUUUGUUGAAACCAUAUUUUUUGAUGAAAAACGGGGUCGACUUGGGUUUUGAAAAAUGAAACGGGAGUCGCCACCAAUCCUUUUUUAUGAGGUGUGAUUGGAUCACCUCGAAAAAUGGUUGUUUUUAAUAAACGGUUUGAUUUUAUUAAAACAACAAGUUUGGUCCACGAAAUCUAGAAAACGAGUUCGGGAGUCGGUUACGUACGAGGAAGGAUUAGCACCCUCGAUACGCCCAAAAUUGGUACCUUAGUUGAUUACUUAAUGUCUUAAUGUCGAAAAGCUGAAAACUUUAAAGAAAUUUAAAAAUAUGAUCCUUAUAUUAAAACGUUAGAAUUUUUUAGGAAAAGGGGCAUGUUUCACGUUAUUCGAGAAAGAAAAUCAUAUCCAGUAAGUUAGGACACAAUGCCUCGAAUUUCGGAUACGCGAAUGAAUGCCAAAAUUUAUUUAUUUAAAAGAUAUUUUAUUAUCUCGAGUUUAGGAAAUGGAUCAUGCCCAGUAAGUUAGGACACAAUCUUUUCUUAAUUCCCGAGAUCAUUUAAAAACUUAAGUUUGAGAAGAUUCGUGUAUUUAGAUUUAUUGUGAAAAUCGAAACCCAGUGAGUUAGGGUACGAUCUUCUCGAAUCUAAACACGAAGUGCCCUUUUUUAAAACAAAUUUAGUUAUAUCGAGUGAAAUAAAAACACGAAAUCGUAGUAAGAUAUGAGAGCAAAUUAUAUUGUUAUGCAUGGCAAAACUACGACAAAUACCAAAAAUAAUACGAGCAAUAGCAACAAUAUAAAGUAAAUAAAAAGUUAAAUCUAUAACAUACUAAAAUAACCAAGUAUAUAAACGAAUAAAGUUAAACAUUCAUUCAAAAUAAUAAUAGAAAUGAAAUAAAUAAAUAAUGAAAAACAAACAAAGAAAAUAUAUAAAACUAUAAAAAUAUAAAUGAUAUAUAUGUGUGUAUAUACAUAAAAUUAUGGAAAUAUGAAAAAUGUAUGUAUAUACGUAUUUUAAAAUUAUCAUAAUAUAUAUAUAUAUAUAUAUAUAUAUAUAUAUAUAAGUAAGCAUAUACAAAUAUAUGUAUAUAACUAUCAUAAAAUAUAAAAGUAUAUAUAUAUAGGUACAUAUAUAGGAAUCAUAAAAUAUAAAGAAUAUAUAUACAAAAUAUAUAUUUUAGUAGUAUAAAGGAUAUACAAAUAUACAUUCACGCAAAUAAAUGAGGAUAUAUGUAAGUACGUAUGUAUAAAAGUUUAAAAUGCAAAUGUAAAUACAUACAUGUAUAUCUUUUAUAAAAUAUAUAAUAAAAAAAGUAUAUGUGCACGUAAAUAUUAAAUAUAUACAUAAGGGUAUAUAUAAUAAAGCAAUUAUAUAAUAGUAGUAGUGAUAAUAAUAAUAAUAAUAAUAAUAAUAAUAAUAAUAAUAAUAAAGUUGCUAAAAUAUGGACUAAAUCAAAAUAAACAAAAGUGUUGGGUGAAAUCAAAAUAAAAAAAAACGAAAAAAGGAUUAAAUUGUGACGCGCCGAAAGAGGGAGGACCGAAUAGGGAAAUAACCCCUAUCGAUUAAACGACGUCGUUCCAACGAAGUCAAAGCGCAUGGUCUAGGGACCAAACUGAAACAGAAACAAAAUUCGAUGCCAAAAUUGCAAAAAUAAAAAAAAACUGUAUUGAAUACGCCACAAAGGAGUGAGGACCUAUGGCGCAAAUAUCCCAAGAACCAAAAAAACGCGCGGAUCCUCCCCCAGGGUCGGGUCACCGCGCGGGUCAGAUGUCCUUAAGGUAAAACGGCGCCGUUUUCAUUUUAUUAUUUAAGCCCAAAACAUUUUUUUAUCCAUUUUCAGCCCCCUUUUUUUUAAAAAACUCUUAAACAAAACCCUAGCUCCCUUUUUUCUCUCAUUUUCCUCCCACUCAGCCCCCAAGUUCAAACCACCGUCGCCUCCACCUUGGCCAGUGGCCGGAGUAGCGCAAAAGGGACCUCACGGCUUUCUCUUCUUUCGGUAUCCUCGAAGGCUUGGCCUUCUCAACCGUGCGACCGAGAAAGAGAAAGGAUCCCUUCUCAAGUUCGAUUCCAACGAUGGCGGAGACGGGCUCCGACACCGAUCCUUAAAACGAACAGGUAUCUUUCUUUUCCUUUUUUGUUGUUCUUCUUUGUUAAAAGUGUAGUGAGACAAACCAAAAAAUAAAAUAAAAAUAAAAUAAAAUGAAUAAUAAAGGGAAUAAUAAGUAUGCAAGGAAAUAAACUGGGAUCAACCUUUUAUCUUAAUGCUUUUUUCUCUUGCUAUUAAUCGAUCGUAAAAAAUAUACAGACAUGGUGUUUGGCUUUUAUAGCCGAUCCAUUUCUAUUUUCUAUAUUAUUUGCUACUUUGCGUGUUUCCCCCUUGUUUGCAGAGUGAUUUGAUGCUGAUGGGUUAGGUGGCAGAGUUGGUGGUUGCUAGAGGCGACGGCAACAGAGAGGAAAUGACGGCGGCGGCGUGGAAGUCAAAAGGGCAGGUGGUGCGGCUGAAGGUAGUAGGCUAGGGUUCUGUUUUCUAAUUUGCACUUUGGGCCAUUUGGGCCAUUGGGGUUUAGUUUUAGUGGGUUUAGAUUUUGGGUCUAGGUUUGGGCUGAUGGGUAAGGUCUAGGUGGUAUUGGGUAUUGGGUUAGUGUUGGGUUUGGUUAUUGGGUAAUGGGCCUCGGUUAAAAAAAAUUGGGCUUGUACAGCUGCCCCUCUUUGCUCGUUGUCGUGUAACGAUAACAGAGCAAAGACUAAGAAAGCCCAAUUUUGCCCAGGCUCAUCGAGUUUCGACUUCUCUUGACGCUUUUCUUCUUCAGGUAGCCUCAUUCCAGUCCACUUUGUCUUGUUGCUUCAAUCUACUUCACUGCACUUCAGAGGGAUCUGACGUGUAGCUUUGCAGCAACUUCGGGGAGAUAGGAUUAUCGGCUUCAAUCUGAGGUGAUCUACUCUACUGUAACUUCAGAGAGAUAAGAUCUUUUUUUUUUAAUCCACUCCACUGUAACUUCAGAGAGAUAGGAUUACUAGCUUCAAUCUACUCCGCUGUAAUCUCAGGGAGAUAAGAUCUGAAAUUCUUUGGUCUGUUCCAUUGUAAUCUCAGGGAAAUAAGACCUGGUGCGAUCUACUCUACUGUAACUUCAGAGAGAUAAGAUCCUUAGUUUUAAUCCGCUCUACUGUAAUCUCAGGGAGAUAGGAUUACUAUCUUCAAUCUGCUCCGCUGUAAUCUCAGGGAAAUAAGAUCUGAAAUUCUUCGGUCUGUUCCACUGUAAUCUCAGGGAGAUAAGACCUGUAUAAUGAACCUAAUUAUGCCUAAUGAUUAGGAUGACAUGAUCAAAAUGAAACAAAUGCUCCUAUCUAGACAUGUGUGAACGGUGUUUGCAUGAAUGCAGAAUUUUAUUUUUCGUGAAUGAUCUCGCUUAGGUUAUCAUUACUCGAAGUUUAUCAAGGUUUUGUGACUGAUGUGUUACAACACCUUCUUGCUUGACUAACUUUUCUAAAGGAACACUUAGCCAAGUUGUCCCCCAUUGUGAACGUCAAAGUUCAAUCCACUGGGACAUGAAAUUUGUACCAUCAAACUCCCACCGUAACCCAAAGGUAGAAAGAUAUGGCUUUUCCUCCGUCCUCUUUUAUCAUAAUUUGGAGAUAUUGGAUCUGAACCGUUCUGGUUUCUUACACCAUUCUCAGGGUGUCAUACCAAAGACUUAUGCGCAAAUGAAGGCUCUCUUCUCCGUGGUAACCUCUUUCUUAUCACUUGGUGAUUAUUGCUUGCUAGUUCAUUGAAGCCUUGUCACCUAACACGACCUUUGUCAUUUUGUUUUAUCCACGUUUGGACAACCAAGUUUAAAAGGAUAGUCCUGAUUUAGACUUUUUCCUUUUAGACAUUUCAAAUUUGGUGUGUUCUAAACAACGGUCCUGUUUCAGGUUCCUUCAUUAUUUAGAAAUUUCUAGAGUAAUAUGGAAAGCUCAUUUUGCUUGAACAUUCAGUCCAUUAAUCGUUAUUUCAAAUGUUUUUGAAAGAAGAUUAUCACAAUGGACAAACAAAAUGCUAUUGAGAGCAAAUCUCGAAAUGAAUGAGUUAACAAAUUUUCCUAAGAUAAGAUGAAAAAUAAACAAAAUGAAAUUUUAUUGGGGAACAAAGCUUGAAAUGAAUACAUCAAUCAAGACAACAAAUUUUGCCAAGAUUCAAAAUAUAAGAUGACAACAGGUGCCCCAGAUAUCGCAGCACGAGCUUCCCUACAUAAGUUUUUUUUUAGACCAUUUAAUAUGUGUUUAGGGAAUCUACAGUAUUUUGUCGAUACCCCAAGAUGUCGCCUAUCCUUUCUUGUGAUUCAAGUAUAGCGAGACCACCAUAUGCCCCAGAUUUUUGAUCAAAAUUUGAGUUGUUCCGUUCACCUCAUGCCUCAUCAAAAUUUGAGCCGCCUUUUUCAGGUUUUCAACUCAAAUCCCCUUUGGUCUCAAGGCGCCUUUUUACGGGUUUUCACCUUGGCCUCUCCUUUUUUUUUAAGUGAAAUAUUUCUUGACUGAGUCUGAAUUCACAGGAUUUGGCAGGCUUUUACCAUCUAUUUCGCUUAAGAUUAAAGCUCCUCCUGAAAAGGCCUUUUUUACCACAUAUGGACCUUCCCAAUUUGGCAUCCAUUUUCCUCUAAAAUCCUUUUGUAGAGGAAGAAUCUUUUUCAACACCAAGUCCCCCUCGUAAAAUUCUCUGGGACGAACUUUUUUGUUAUAGGCUCGCAUCAUUUGUUUCUGAUACAUCUGACCAUGACUAAUAGCUUUUAACCUCUUUUCUUCUACCAAGUUUAGUUGGUCAUAUCGAGAUUGAAUCCAUUCAGCCUCAUCCAACUUUAGUUCAGCUAAUACUCGGAGAGAAGGAAUUUCAACUUCUAUGGGUAAAACUGCCUCCAUCCCAUAGACUAAAGAAAAUGGCGUUGCCCCCGUAGAGGUCCUAACAGAGGUACGAUAUGCCAGAAGGGCAAAAGGUAGUUUCUCGUGCCAGUCUUUGUAGGUUUCAGUCAUUUUCCCUACAAUUUUCUUGAUAUUUUUGUUAGCUGCUUCCACGGCACCAUUCAUUUUUAGACGGUACGGUGACGAGUUGUGGUGUCUGAUCUUGAACUGACUACAAACUUCUGCUAUUGAGUUGUUGUUCAAGUUCAGUGCAUUAUCGGAUAUGAUCCUUUCAGGCAUCCCGUAUCGACAUAUGAUCUCUUUUUUCAGAAAUUUGCUAACUGCUGACUUCGUGACAUUUGCAUACGAAGCGGCCUCCACCUAUUUAGUGAAGUAAUCAAUAACCACAAAGAUAAAACGAUGCCCAUUAGAAGCCUUCGGAGAUAUUGGCUCGAUAACAUCCAUUCCCCACAUGGAGAAAGGCCAUGGAGAAACCAUAACAUGAAGAGGUGACGGUGGUGCGUGCAUUUUGUCACCAUAAAUUUGACAUUUAUGGCACUUUUUGGCAUAAUUAAUGCAAUCCCCUUCCAUGGUGGACCAAUGGUACCCAAACCUCAUAAUUUGUCUGGCCAUCGUGAAGCCAUUUGCAUGCGUUCCACAGAUACCUUCAUGCACUUCUUCCAAAAUUUCCUUAGCUUCGACAGCGUCCACACAUCUCAACAAUACUUGAUCUUUUCCUCUUUUAUACAAGAUAUCCCCAUCUAGGACAUAAUCAAUGGCUAAUCUCCUUAGUGUCUUCUUAUCAUUUUCAAUCGCAUGGUCAGGGUACUCACGACUCUUCACAUAUCGCAAUAUGUCAUGGUACCAGGGAUGAUCAUCCUUUUCUCCUUCAUUGUCAAUGUUGUAACAAUGGGCUGGAGCCUCAUAAACGCUGAUCUGGAUAGGCUUCAUAUCCUCUAGCCUGUUCGCUCUGAACAUAGAAGCUAGGGUAGCCAAAGCAUCUGCCAUCUGGUUCUCAUCUCGCGGGAGAUAACUAAAGGUGACACUAUCAAAUUCCUCAAUCAAUUCCAUAACCAAUUUUCGAUAGCGGACUAACUUGGGGUCCCUUGCUUCCCAUUCCCCUUUGAGCUGGUAAACUACUAAUGCAGAAUCCCCGUAUAUCUCUAGCACCUUAAUUUUCCGCUCUAUGGCUGUUCGGAUGCCCAUAAUGCAAGCUUCAUACUCAACCAUGUUAUUUGUACAAUCAAAAUCCAAUUUGCUAGUGAAAGGGUAAUGAUCUCCACUAGGGGACACGAGUACUGCCCCGAUUCCGUUACCUAUAGCAUUUGAAGCUCCAUCAAAAUUUAGCUUCCAAGGACCACCUUCUUGGAAAUCUUUUUCUAUAGUUGCAACAUACAUCAAAUCUUCAUUUGGGAAAUCAAAGUUCAAGGGUUCAUAAUCCUCCAGCGCUCUACUUGCCAGAAAGUCCGCUAUUGCACUCUCUUUUACAGCCUUCUGGUUCACAUAGACUAUGUCAAACUCAGAUAGGAGAAUUUGCCAUCGGGCCAUUCUUCCACUCAAAGCGGUUGAUUCCAUCAAGUAUUUCAGGGGGUCCAAUUUAGAAAUUAGCCAGGUUGUAUGGUACAACAUGUACUGUCUCAGUCUCCGAGUUGUCCAGAUCAGGGCACAACAUAACUUCUCGAUUGGCGAAUAUCUUGUUUCACAUUCGGUGAACUUCUUACUGAGAUAGUAGAUUGCUCUUUCUUUUCGUCCUGUCUCAUCAUGUUGACCAAACAUGCAUCCCAUGGAAUUUUCAAAUACUGCCAAAUACAGUAUGAGCGGUUUGUCUGGGCAAGGUGGCAUCAGCACUGGGGCGUUGGACAAGUAAUGUUUCACUUUUUCAAAAGUUUUUUGGCACUUCUCAUCCCAUACACCUGGAUUAUGUUUCUUAAGGAGACGGAAUAUGGGGUCACAUUUCUCGGUUAAUUGUGAAAUAAACCGAGCGAUGUAGUUCAUUCUUCCUAGAAAACCUCGAACCUCUUUUUCAGUACGCGGCAGAGGUAAUUCUUGUAUUGCUCUUACUUUGUCAGGAUCAAUCUCGAUUCCUCUCUCAUUGACCACGAACCCAAGCAAUUUUCCUGAUCUGACCCCAAAUGUGCAUUUUGCUAGAUUUAAUUUUAGCUGAAAUUUUCUCAACCGCAUAAAUAAUUUCUUAAGGACCUGCACAUGUUCCUCUUCCGUUUUAGAUUUUGCAAUCAUGUCAUCAACAUAGAUUUCUAAUUCCUUAUGCAUCAUAUCGUGAAAUAGUGUUACCAUGGACCUCUGAUACGUUGCCCCUGCAUUUUUCAACCCAAAUGGCAUCACUUUAUAGCAAAAGGUUCCCCAUAGGGUUAUGAAUGUAGUUUUCUUCAUAUCCUCAGGAUGCAUCUUAAUUUGGUUAUAUCCAGAGAAACCAUCUAUGAAAGAAAACAAUAAAUGCCCCGCUGUGUUGUCUAUUAAGGUGUCGAUGUGCGGCAAGGGAAAGUUAUCUUUUGGGCUAGCCUUAUUUAAAUCUCUAUAAUCCACACACAUUCGUACCUUUCCAUCUUUCUUAGGGACAGGAACGAUAUUGGCCACCCACUCGGAGUAUUUGACCACUUGCGGGAAUCCAGCGUCGAAUUGCUUUUGCACCUCCUCUUUUAUUUUUAAUACAACAUCUGGCCUCAUUCUUCGGAGUUUUUGCUGAACUGGUUUGCAAUCUUCCUUUAUAGGAAGUCGGUGAACUACAAUGUCAGCACUUAGCCCCGGCAUAUCUUGAUAUGACCAUGCGAAGACAUCUUUGAAUUCUCGAAGCAACUUAAUGAGGUCUUGUUUUACUUCUUCAGCUAUGCAUGUGCCAAUCUUCACCACUUUUCCCUCUUCCAGGGCCACCGUCUCUACUGUCUCCUUGUGAGGUAGGAUUUGUUUUUCUUCCUGCUCUACCAUCCUCAACAAGUCCGGAGAUAGGUUGCAAUCUAUGUUAUCUUCAAAAUCUUGAGAUUCCUCUAAAUACAUAUCUCGUUCGAAAGGAUUUUCUAAGUCCAUAGUAGGGUUACUCAUGUCAUUGAUGUCUUGGGACCUGUUAUAAGUAUCGAAAAAUGUACAGGGAAUGUAUGAAUUUAAGGAUUCUUAUUUGGUCAUGAAUGAAAUGAAAGAAUGAUUUGGAAUAAAAGCAUCCAAGAUGACUAUUCAUGCGAAAGAAUGAAAAGAAUUUUAAGAGAAUAUAUACUCAAAAUGCGAAAAUAUAUUUAAUUGAAAUCACAAUGUUCAAAUAUAAGCCCUUUUCACUUCACAAAAAGUUUCAUUUUCUCUAGGCUUAGAACAAUUAGUAUGUUUUGAAUAUUACUCUGAAAAAGCUCUAAAAACUUCAGGCAUUUCUUCUGCAGUCCAAUUGUUUAAAACACUCCCAGGUUCAAAGGGAUAGAUGCCUGAUGUACUUCCUUCUUCAGAUUUUUCUUCAGAUAUGGCAUUGAUGUUCAAGUUUCCUAGCAUUUCCUCUGUGAUCUCCCUUCUUGGAGUCAUCAGUCCAGAAUACAUGGUUCCUCCCGAUACAAAGGUCUUGGAUAUGUGGGGGAAAGCCAUCGGUUCCCAAUCAACUUCUUUUCCGUUUACACGCGCCUUCUUCCUCUUUUGUCUUUUCUCCAACUCUUUUCUUCUUUGCUUAGCGUUUGGUUUAAGUCCUAAACCAAAACGGUCUUGCUUGUCCUUCAGCACUGGUGCCUCUAUCCUUCCUUGAAGGCAUCUUCCCAGUCCUCUUCUGAGCAUAGCUCCUUUCCCAACUGUCAUUUGUAGUCCCAUCCCCGUGGCUCUAGAUAUGCUGGGCAUCGGGAUUUUCUUUCCCUCAAUGACAAAGGUCGCAUUUACGAACUCUAAAGAUCGAAAGGAACAUUCAACCGCCUCAUCAUCUGUUCCCAAAUAUGGCGCGUCACUGGUUAUCGAUGCAAUGAUGUCUUCCUCAGCGUCAAUCGUAAUUAACCGGCCUUCUGUUACCAAUUUCAACUUCUGGUGUAAUGAUGAAGGCACCACUCCUGCUGAAUGAAUCCAGGGUCUUCCCAACAAGCAGUUAUACGAAGGCUUGAUAUCCAUCACUAAGAAAUCCAUCUCGUAUGUAUUUGGGCCAAUCAAGAGGGGUAUUUCUAUUCUUCCCAUCACCUUCCUUUCAGUACCAUCAAAUGCUCUCACUAUAUUCUGGCAUGAUUUCAUGUGAGAGCUAUCCACCGGUAACCUAUUUAAGGUGGAUAGGGGUAAAACAUUCAAGGCUGACCCAUUAUCAAUUAGUACUCCUGCUAACGUAUACUCCCCACAACGAGCAGUGAUAUGUAAUGCUUUGGUAGCUCCUCUUCCCCCCGGUGGUAUUUCAUCAUCAUUAAAGAAAAUGAAAUUGUCGGCACUGAUAUUGUUAACCAAGCGGUCCAACUUAUUCACUGAGAUAUCGUGAGCGACAUAAGUUUCAUUUAGCACCUUAAUCAACGCAUUACGAUGUAUCUCCGAACUUAUAAGCAACUCAAACACCGAGAUACGAGCCGGUUGUUUAUGCAAUUAUUCUACCACGCUGUACUCGCUAUGUUUCAAGAAUUUUAGAAAUUCUCUAGCCUCAUUUUCAGUUACCGGCUGAUUGACACGCGGUUCAAUUUUGUCUGUUUUUGCUUUUCCCAACUCAACCGCUAAGGCUUUUCCUUUUCUGGAUUCCGCUCUUGUGUUUGCCGGAUCAUAGCAAUUUCCACUUCGUGUAUAGAAUCAUUCGUCUUCUCCUGAAGUGUUUACCAAGCACUCUUUCCCUGGAAUUGUCACAUUGCAGUCGUAAUUCCAAGGAACCUUUUUGCUAUCCUCGUAAGGAAAGGAUACAGGUUUUUGGAUUAUGACCUUUGGUGCUAUUUGAAUUCCAGAUUCUCUGCUCAUUGGUUUUGAAAUAAUUACUACUGGGUGAUUAGCCUUUUGGGCUUUCCCCGUAGAUCCUUCUUCUGCAGCAUAAACUUCUCCUUCUUCUAGUCCAUUAAUCUCUUCAUAAAAUUCCAACUCUUUGUUAUCCAUUAAGUUUUGCACCAUGGUUCUGAAUUCGGUACAUCUUUCGAUGUCGUGGCCUUCUUCUGCGUGGAACUCACAAAACUUACUUGCUCCUUCAGGCCUUUCUAUUGAAUCUUGCUUGAUGCGUCCUCCUUUGACCAUUUGUUUCCAAACCCAUUCAAGGGGGGUCCUUAUCUCUGCUACAUUAGUUUUGACUCUCCUUCCUCCAUUCUCAAUUAUCGCGUUCACCCCUUCAUCAUGAUUGGGCAACGGACUUUCCGUGUUGAGUGAGUCACCAAAUUUGACAACGCCCAAUUUGAUAAGUUCUUCCACUACCUUCUUGAAAGCAGUACAAUUUUCUAUCGAGUGCCCUGAAAUUCUGGCAUGAUAGUCACACUGAGCGUUUGUGUCAUACCAUUUUGGAUAUGGGGGUUGUAGAGGACUUAAAUCACGGGGAGCGACAACAUGCGCAUUAAAUAAAUUCUGGUACAGCUCCUUAUAUGUCAUUGGAAUGGGAGUGAACUGAGCUUCUCAGUAUUUUGCCUCAUUCCCGACUCUUGUUUCGAUGAGCCCUGUUGAUUAAUGACCGCUUUCCUCGGUUGACUCACAGUAAUUGAUUUACUGUAGGCAUUCACAUUAUUCACUUCAUUUUCUCUUUUCCUCGGGGCUGUCCUUUUAUUGUUCUCCCCUCCGUCUAUUCUUCCACUUUUAAUAGCAUGCUCGAUCAUUUUGUCGUUCAUAAUUAUAUCCGAGAAAUUCUUUGAAGCGCUUCCCAACAUGUGAGUGAUGAAUGGGGCUUUCAAUGUAUUAAUAAAAAGCGUCGUCAUUUCUUUUUCCAAAAGAGGUGGUUGCACCUGCACUCCCACUUCUCUCCACCUCUGUGCGUAUUGUCUGAAGCUCUCGUUCGAUUUCUUCUCCAAAUUCUGCAGAGUUAUCCUGUCAGGCAUCAUUUCUGAGACAUGAUUAUAUUGUCUCAUGAAUGCCUGUGCUAAAUCUCUCCAAGUAGCAAUUUUGGUCCGGCUUAGCUGAUUGUACCAUUUUAACACCGCACCUGUAAGACUAUCCUGGAAGUAGUGUAUUAAUAAUUGAUCAUUAUUAAUAUACCCCGUCAUUCUCCUGCAGAACAUAGUGAUAUGGGCUUCUGGGCAACUGGUCCCAUUAUAUUUCUCAAAUUUCGGCAUCUUAAAUUUGUAAGGAAGCACCAGAUCCGGAACUAAGCUCAAAUCUUUCGCAUCUAUUCCACGAUAGCUGUCAAUACUUUCUAUUUCCCUAAACUUCUCUUCAAUCCAUUUCCAUUUCUCCUCAAACUGCUUUGGUAACUCUUCUUUUACCUUGUCUUUUUCAGCUACUUCAUCGAAAUCAGGGACAACAAAAUUAACCAGAUUAUCGCUAGGACUAGAACCAGAUCCGACCUGAAGGUUCUUCGAUAUUGAAACAUCACCUUGAAGAUGCUGAGGCCUAAUCGAAACAGAAGGUCUUCGUGGAUGUGGUUCAGUCUGAACUUGCACAUGCGGAGGUGUGAAUCCUGGAGGAAAAAGUGGUUCAUCAUUGUUUUCUUCUUCAUCGCAAAUCACAGGACCUUUCCCUUUAUCCGCUCCCUUAGUUAUUAAUUGCGUCAAUUUAGUCAUUAGGUCAUCCUGAGACUCUUUCAUCCUUUGUACCAUGUCUUUUUGGAUCUUUUCCACAUGUUCUUUCAUUUGCACCUGCCACUGGUCUUGCAUUUCCUUUUGAAGCCGUUCUAGUUUUUCCAACCUUUGUUCCAUAAUUUUUGACUUAGCCCGAGUGCCGUAACAGUGUCGAUUUUCCAGGUUAGCUGAAAUAAUUUUAUUCAAUUAGGGUCCUUUAAUGGUUGUUAAUGCAUAUAAUGUGAUGCAAUGCAUGAAAUGAAUGCAAAAAAAAGGCGUUGAUUCUAAUUCAAUUUCAUUCUAAAAACUUUACUAGAAAAUAAACUUCUUUACAUAAAGUGGAUUACAGAUACGACUUAGCCCUAAUACUUAAAACUCUAAUUUUCUUAAGUAACGAGGCUAACUCUUGUCCUCGACUUGACUCUAAUUCAUAUUUCACGCUCAACACAUCAGCUUGUACUGCUAACGUUUGCAAAUGGUCAGCCACCUCUCGGAUUUGAAGCACGGCUUCUCCCAUAAUGUGAUCCCUAUCUCUUACUUGGUUCUGAAAGUAGUGCAACUGCUCGACUUGACGAUCUUCAUUAGAUUCCAAGUACUCAAUCCGAAUCUCACAAUUUCGCAAUGCUGCUUCUAACUCUUCAAUUCUUUCUUUCAUUUCUUCAAUUCUAUUUAAGCUUGCCCUUAAUUCCAUCACAGAAUUCCGAUUUCGAUGCUGAUGAAGAGAUCCUUCUAAUUCAGUCACUCUGUUCUCCAGCUCCCCUUUCUCUUUCUGAUUCUCCGACAAGCUCCUCUUUAAAGUCUCAUUUUGUGCUUGAAUUUCUUGGAACCUCCUUUCCCAUUCAUCUGCCCUAUUCUUUUCUUCUUGAAUCUCCUUGCGCCACUGAUCAGAAGUCUUUCCCAACCCGGCAGUCCUUAUUGAUAAUCGCAACUUCUUAUAAUCUGUUUUUAAACUAUCAAGAUCUUCUUCAGCCCUAACUUUCCCUUUUCUUAGUCGUUCGGCCUCGAGCUUCUGAACAUCUGCGUCCAAUCUUAAGUUCAUCUUUUCUUCCUCCAUUUGCUCUAUCUGUUUUUCCAACUCUGCAUUUCUUCUUUCAAAGUUCUGUUUUAAAAUUUCCAGUUCAGAAGGGACGACCCUUAAAUGCUCUUCUAAUGACCGACUGCCUUCAUGACUCGAUUUGGGAAUAUUGUCAUUGAUUCUUCUUGUCCUCCAUUCGUCGUACUCAGGAGUCGUCAUUGGUCCUACAGCCAAUCUCUUUAUUCGUCGAGUUUGGUUCCACGCAUUGGAUAUCUCUCGAGUCCUCUUUUUGUAACCAUCACUCCCGUAUGCGAAUUCAUACCCGGCUAAUCCCUGGGUUGCGGGUAUAAACUGUCUUGACCUGUAUUGUCUGAGCACUAAUAACGGGGCAUAUCCAAUAGCUCCCCAGAUUCCGAGUAGAGGGACCCAAUCAAAAUCGCCACACCAAUACAAAAUUUCGUCUGGAAGUAACCACGGAGCUCUCCAUUCAAUGUCCUCUUCUUGAAGGCUCUGAAGAAUUGCCAUCCAUUUUUCCAUCGAAAUGUCAUCUCUUCUCAUUGUACCUACUAUCUCCUUUAGUGGCGAAUAGUUUUCAGAGAAGACCCGAUAUGACACCUUAUCCACUUUCCAAAAAUGACUGUGAAACCACGCAAGUAAUAACUGAACACAUCCGACGAAUCUGCCUUCACCCGCUCGUCGACAGGCAUUCAAUGAUCUGAAUGUUUCCGCUAGAAUUGCUAGAACCGGAGUAACUCCCUUGUCGAGACAGUUGAAUAGAUCAGUGACUGCCUCAUCAAUAUGCCCCAAAGCUCUGGGAAAGAUAACUAAGCCGUAUAGGCACAAAGCGAAGACAUCUACCCUCUUUUUUACAUCUGGAUGCACUAGGACCACAUCUUUCAAAUUCCUCCAAUAAAUGCACUUGUUAACCCCUUUUUGUUUGAUUCGGGCUGUGACCCACUGCUCACUCAUACCUGUUAUGUUCAUCAAUCUUCUCAAAAAGGGUGCAUUUGCAGCUCUUGAGUAGAUUCUAUCGACCUGACUCUUCGAACACCGAAAUAAAGCCAUAUAUUCUUCUAUCGUAGGUACCAAGUCGACUUUUCCGAACGUAAAACAACUGUAGGCGGGGUUCCAAAAUUGUGCGAGAGCCCGAAACAGGUGCUUGUCCACCUUCAUAUCUAGCAGGUACAGCAAAUCCCCUUAAUCGGAAUAGAACAAUCGUCUGUCCUCCUCGUUCAACUGGCUCCAAAUUUCUUUCAAUUCUUGCAAAUUGUUCUGGGUUACGCUAAUACGGGUGAAGUCCCAUAACUCAGAUUCAUAUCCUUCAGCCAAACUAUCCCCUUUCUCUCGUUGUGUCGUUUCUGACCAAAUUCCGGACCGCCGCAUUAUCUUCCACCUUAUCAAGAAAUCCCCUUUCCAUGAUAAGCUUUCUUUCUAGAAACCGAAUAUGAACCAACGUCUUUUAUAGUGAAAUGCCAUGCAGUUGAAAUGUCAUGCAUCCAAAAUAAAACAACAAACGUUAGUAUCAGGUAUAAACAUACAAUCCAUGACAAUUCAGAAAGAAUAAAAGCAUAUACCAGGGUAUCUACUAGGGUUUGGGGUAGUUCUACCUAGGGUAAGUUCCUAAGGUUCACUACAUGAGGUUCGGCUCUAAAGAUGAGGUACCCAAACCAGCAGAUUCCUCGAUCUUCACCCAUUAUAGGCUCAUACAGACCGAGUUCGGUUCAAGGGGUACAUUUCCCUAUGGCUGCACGGAGAUGAAAAUCUCACGAAGACAUAGGUACGGAUGUAUCCCGAAAGCGAUCCACUAUCCUGCACGGAGGUGAAAACCUCACGAAGCAGUAGCUUCUCACUCCUACUUAAAAGGGUGUGACCAAAUGUCAUGCAAUGCAAUGCAAAAGAUACCAAAAUUUAAACAAACAGAGCAAUUAUAAACCACAAUGAUGAAAAUUAUAAUGAAGAAUGAAAUGUCAUGAAAGGAUCGUAAAUUUAAACCAAAUUUUCAAUUUUCAACAAAAAGACAAAAAAUAAUCAACUCGUGGCUCGACUCACUUAUUUUAUGUCCCCAGUGGAGUCGCCAAGCUGUUGACACCAUAUUUUUUGAUGAAAAACGGGGUCGACUUGGGUUUUGAAAAAGAAACGGGAGUCGCCACCAAUCCUUUUUUAUGAGGUGUGGUUGGAUCACCUCGAAAAAUGGUUGUUUUUAAUAAACGGUUUGAUUUUAUUAAAACAACAAGUUUGGUCCACGAAAUCUAGAAAACGAGUUCGGGAGUCGGUUACGUACGAGGAAGGAUUAGCACCCUCGAUACGCCCAAAAUUGGUACCUUAGUUGAUUACUUAAUGUCUUAAUGUCGAAAAGCUGAAAACUUUAAAGAAAUUUAAAAAUACGAUCCUUAUAUUAAAACGUUAGAAUUUUUUAGUAAAAGGGGCAUGUUUCACGUUAUUCGAGAAAGAAAAUCAUAUCCAGUAAGUUAGGACANNNNNNNNNNNNNNNNNNNNNNNNNNNNNNNNNNNNNNNNNNNNNNNNNNNNNNNNNNNNNNNNNNNNNNNNNNNNNNNNNNNNNNNNNNNNNNNNNNNNNNNNNNNNNNNNNNNNNNNNNNNNNNNNNNNNNNNNNNNNNNNNNNNNNNNNNNNNNNNNNNNNNNNNNNNNUUUAUUGUGAAAAUCGAAACCCAGUGAGUUAGGGUACGAUCUUCUCGAAUCUAAACACGAAGUGCCCUUUUUUAAAACAAAUUUAGUUAUAUCGAGUGAAAUAAAAACACGAAAUCGUAGUAAGAUAUGAGAGCAAAUUAUGUUGUUAUGCAUGGCAAAACUACGACAAAUACCAAAAAUAAUACGAGCAAUAGCAACAAUAUAAAGUAAAUAAAAAGUUAAAUCUAUAACAUACUAAAAUAACCAAGUAUAUAAACGAAUAAAGUUAAACAUUCAUUCAAAAUAAUAAUAGAAAUGAAAUAAAUAAAUAAUGAAAAACAAACAAAGAAAAUAUAUAAAACUAUAAAAAUAUAAAAGANNNNNNNNNNNNNNNNNNNNNNNNNNNNNNNNNNNNNNNNNNNNNNNNNNNNNNNNNNNNNNNNNNNNNNNNNNNNNNNNNNNNNNNNNNNNNNNNNNNNAAAAAAGUAUAUGUGCACGUAAAUAUUAAAUAUAUACAUAAGGGUAUAUAUAAUAAAGCAAUUAUAUAAUAGUAGUAGUGAUAAUAAUAAUAAUAAUAAUAAUAAUAAUAAUAAUAAUAAUAAUAAAGUUGCUAAAAUAUGGACUAAAUCAAAAUAAACAAAAGUGUUGGGUGAAAUCGAAAUAAAAAAAACGAAAAAAAGAUUAAAUUGUGACGCGCCGAAAGAGGGAGGACCGAAUAAGGAAAUAACCCCUGUCGAUUAAACGACACCGUUCCAACGAAGUCAAAGCGCAUGGUCUAGGGACCAAACUGAAACAGAAAUAAAAUUCGAUGCCAAAAUUGCAAAAAUAAAAAAAAACUGUAUUGAAUACGCCACAAAGGAGUGAGGACCUAUGGCGCAAAUAUCCCAAGAACCAAAAAAACGCGCGGAUCCUCCCCUAGGGUCGGGUCACCGCGCGGGUCAGAAGUCCUUAAGGUAAAACGGCGCCGUUUUCAUUUUAUUAUUUAAGCCCAAAACAUUUUUUUUAUCCAUUUUCAGCCCCCUUUUUUUUAAAAAAAACUCUGAAACAAAACCCUAGCUCCCUUUUUUCUCUCAUUUUCCUCCCACUCAGCCCCCAAGCUCAAACCACCGUCGCCUCCACCUUGGCCAGUGGCCGGAGUAGCGCGAAAGGGACCUCACGGCUUUCUCUUCUUUCGGUAUCCUCAAAGGCUUGGCCUUCCCAACCGUGCGACCGAGAAAGAGAAAGGAUCCCUUCUCAAGUUCGAUUCCAACGAUGGCGGAGACGGGCUCCGACACCGAUCCUUAAAACGAACAGGUAUCUUUCUUUUCCUUUUUUUUUUUGUUCUUCUUUGUUAAAAGUGUAGUGAAACAAACCAAAAAAUAAAAUAAAAAUAAAAUAAAAUGAAUAAUAAAGGGAAUAAUAAGUAUGCAAGGAAAAAAAACUGGGAUCAACCUUUUAUCUUAAUGCUUUUUUUCUCUUGCUAUUAAUCGAUCGUAAAAAAUAUACAGACAUGGUGUUUGGCUUUUAUAGCCGAUCCAUUUCUAUUUUCUAUAUUAUUUGCUACUUUGCGUGUUUCCCUCUUGUUUGCAGAGUGAUUUGAUGCUGAUGGGUUAGGUGGCAGAGUUGGUGGUUGCUAGAGGUGACGGCAACAGAGAGGAAAUGACGGCGGGGGCGUGGAAGUCAAAAGGGCAGGUGGUGCGGCUGAAGGCAGUAGGCUAGGGUUCUGUUUUCUGAUUUGCACUUUGGGCCAUUUGGGCCAUUGGGGUUUAGUUUUAGUGGGUUUAGAUUUUGGGUCUAGGUUUGGGCUGAUGGGUAAGGUCUAGGUGGUAUUGGGUAUUGGGUUAGUGUUGGGUUUGGUUAUUGGGUAAUGGGCCUCGGUUAAAAAAAAUUGGGCUUGUACAAACUUAAUUAGACAUCAUUAAUUCACAAAUAUCCGAACAGCAGUAACAAUAUUCGGACAGCAUUGAUUUGCUCAAAAAUGGACAAUAUUUAAACAACAUUCGGACAGCAUAAUAUGCUCAAAAACGGACAGCAUUUAAACAACAUUCGGACAUCAUAAUAUGCUCAAAAAUGGACAUCAUUUAAACAACAUUCGAACAACAUAAUAUGCUCAAAAAUGGACAGCAUUUCAACAACAUUCGGACAACAUUUUAUCAUCACACAUACUAAAUUGCCACCAUCCAACACACAAGAUAUACCAUAUAAUAUACUUCCAAAAUGAGCUAAUUACAUAGCCUAAAAUACACAAAAUUAGAAUCAUUAUCAAGCCAUUUUCGCAUGGCUAAAUAUAUAUACACUUCAUGACCAAACAAAACAAAUACUAGCUUAUACAAGCAAUAUAUUCAAAGUUCGAGCUUUCAAAAUACCGAGAUAAAGAUCAAUAGUGUGGCGGACUGUAAUGGCCCAAAUUCAAGGUUAUCGGAAUAGUGGUUUCAUAACCACAAAUCUAAUUUAAAGAGAAAUUUAUUUUAAUAUUUUUGCAUGAAUAUAUGAUAGGAAAAUCGUAUGAAAAUAUCGAUAGAAAAAUUUUACCAAUUUAGUGGUUAGUUAGAAAAAGAAAUUAUUGAAGAAAUUGGGUAAAAACAAGGUGUCGAAACCUUCUUUUGAAAAACAAAAACUUUACGUUGUCGACUUCAAAAAAAAUUAAAAUUGGGAGUCGCCACCAAUCUUUUAUUGAGGUGUGAUGGGAUCACCUAAAAAACGGCUUUGGUCUACGAGUUUUUUUAAAAAAAAGGGGUCCGGGAGUCAUUUAGGUACAAGAAAGGAUUAGCACCCUUGUAUCGCCCAAAAUUGGUACCUAAUUAAUUAAUUAGUGUCUUAAGGUCGAAAAAAAUAUAAUCUUUAAAACACUUAAAACGUUACGUAUUAAGACCCUUCUCAAUUCAGAGAAGCAAAAAUGCCACACCCAAUGCGUUAGGGCACAACAUUCUAAUUUCCUCCAAAAUGAAUUAGGUCAAAAUACUCGUAUAAUGAAAAAAAUUAAAAGAAUAUUCAUUUAUCCAAGAUUUAAGAAAUCGCGGCCCAAUACGUUAGGGCACAAUUCCUUUAGAAUCCCAAACUCGGAAUAUUUCCUUUAUUGUUUUUAGAAAAAAAAUUCAUUUCGAGAAAUCAAUGCGUCACAUCCAAUACGUUAGGACACAACGUGUUGAAUUCCCAAUAAUGAAUUCUUAUUUUUUGAUUAAAGAGAAAUGCUCGAUUGUUAGACUUAACGAAGAAAAUCGGAACCCAAUACGUUAGGGCUCAAUUUCCUUGAAAAUCCUAAAUUCAAGCAUUCUCUCAAUUUUGAAAAGUUUGAAAUCGAGUAAAGAAUGAUGUGAUGCUAUAUUAAAUAUACAAUGCAAUAAUAAAUAUUACAAUGGCAUAGAAAUAAUAUAAAUAAAUGAAUAAAUAAAAUCAAUAUACAUAAUAAAAAUAAUCACAUACAAAAUAUCAAAUAAAUCAUAAAAAAACAAUUCUUUUUAACAUAUAAACAAAAACAUGAAUUAAUAAUCGAAUGAAGAAAAUAAACAAAAUAUAAAGAAUAAAAGGCACAUAAUAUAUGCAUUGAAAUUAAAAGCCAUACACAUAAUUUACAUAUGUAACUUUGGAUUAAAAUUUAUAAAAGCAGAAUAUAUAAUGCAUUUGUGAAAAUAAAAUAUAAAUUAUAAUGUAAGUGUUAAAAAAUACAUAUAUUUGAGCAUUUAAAAAAAUAUAUUCAUAUAUAUAUACAAGUAUAUAAAAAACUGGUUAAAAAUAUUAAUAUGUAUACAUACAUAUAUAUAAAAAGAUAAAUAUAACAUAUAUAGAUUAUAAAAAAUAAUUAUAUAUAUAAAUAAAAAUAAAAUAAAAAUAAUUACCUCAUAUUAAAAAAAUAAAUAUGCGAAAAAUAUUAGUUUUUAAAAAAAUAUAUAAAUACGCACAUAGAAACAAGUAUACAUAUAUAUAUAGCUAAAAUAAUAAUAAGUACAUAUGAAAAUAAUAAUAAUAAUUACACUAACAAAAUUAACUAAUUUUAAGAAAAAUAUAAAAAGGAUUAAAUUGAACUACAAGUAAACAAAUCUGGGGUAAAUCUGCAAAUAAAUAAAAUUUGGAGGACUAAAUUGAACGAGCGAAUUACAUAGAGGGGCUGGAAGGGAAAUUUUCCCUUCUCCUCUAAAACGGUGUCAUUCAAAAGGAUUAAAUUGGAAUUUAAAAUAAAUAAAAGGGUAAAUUAAAAAAUAAAGAAAACUUAAUUACAAAAACAUUAAAAGGCGGAAGGGCUAAAUAAAAAUAAAUAAAUAAAAUUCGCAGUGGUAUCACCUUCUCCCUUUUUUAAAAUCGUAAAUAAGUAAAAAAAUAAUCGAAAGAAAAAAUAGUAAGCCACCUUUAAAAAAAACUGCCAAUCGUUCUCUUUUUUAUUCCUCCUACAUUCUCCCUUUUUCUUUUUUUUUCUUUACAAUGAAGGGAGAGACCUCUAUUUAUAGUUGAGCCUCUCCAAAUCUAACGGUACAGAUCAAUUACAUCAACGGCUGAGAUUAAAGGGUAUCUACAAAUUAAAUCUCUAAGAUUACAAAAUCAUAUCUUCUAAGAUUACAUAUCAUAUCUAAGAUUGCAUAUAUCAUAUCUAAGAUUGCAUAUAAUAUCUAGGAUUGCAUAUCAUAUCUAAGAUUUCAUAUCCUCAAAAAUUAUGUUUCCAUAUGUGAGCCCGGGCUAAAAUUGAGUAUUACACAAGGUAUUGAGACCUCGAUCUCGUAAAAUCGAGUCAAAAAUAUUUUUAUAAAUAUUUAUGAAGUGUUAGUAAUAUGGUGUUAAAAUUUCGUUAGAAAAUUUUAAUGUUUGGGUAGUCAAUUAAGUGAAAAGGACUAAAUUAAAAAGGACGUAAAAGUUACUAGAAGGAUUAAAUAGCUCAAUUGUUAAAUGAGGAGGGACAUAAAUUGCAAAUAAGCCCACAAGGAGAUAUUUUGGGCGGCAUAAGCUGAGAAAAAUCAGGAGAAUUGGAGAAUUAAGGGUAAAAUUGGAAUAUUGCAAAAUUUACUUUAAAAGUUAGGACUAAAGUGGAAUUAUCUAGAUUUCUCUUUAUUUUUUUGCAUUCUCAUCAGCCAAAAAUGUCCUAAGGGUUUAGUCAAGCUGGUUUUUCAUAUUUUUGCACAGAGUGAGUUCAUCCUUAACUUUUUCUUGUAAUUUUUGUGUUUCUAAGACUUUUACAACUAGGUCCUAUUACUAAAUUCAUUAGUUUUUGAUUUUAUGAAUGAAAUUAAAAGUUUCUAUGAAUAUGUGCUGGAAUUUUAUGAUUAAAUAGCAUGAAAUUAAAGCUUUAAUUUGUUUAUGAGAUGAUUUUAUUAGGUAAUUUCAAUAGAAAUUGAUUUGUAGGACUUAAUUGUGAAAAAGUUUGGAAUUAAAGUCUAGUGCUAAAAUUAUGAUUUCCAAAGUUUAUAAAGUAGUUUAAAGUGAUAGAAUAAAGUUUUGAUUGAGAAAAAUCAGCUCAAUUGAGAGGUUAAUUGAGCAGGGAUGAAAUUAUCAUUUAUUGAAAGCUUAGGGAAAAAAUGGUAAUUAACAUUAUACACUAAAACAGUUUUGGACAUCAGCAGUAGUCUAACUUUGAAAAAUCACCAAAAAUUGUAGAGAUCUAAUUAGAGGAUGAUUAAAAUAUUAAAUUAAAGCUUAUUAAGUUUAGUUUCUUAUAAAAGAAACGGUGUAAGCAAUGAAAUUGUAAAUCAUGAGAUAUAAUAGAUUUUGUGAGACAAGGUCAGAAUGAAUUCGGGUUCCGCUGUUCUGAAUUUGGAAAAUCAUUAAAAAUUGUAAAAAAAAAUUAUUAUGAGUUAUAAUUUAUAUGCUUAGAAUCGUUAAUGAGUCUAUUUUCAGAAAAAAUAAACGGAAACAUCAUCCAAAUUCUGUACAAUGAGAUAAUUAAUUUUUAGUAAAGAGAAGUUGGAACUGUCAAACAGUGAAAUAGGGGGAAACUUUAAAGAAUAAACUGUACUUAUUGGCUAAACUAAAAAUUUUGAAAAUUUUACGGUAAGAAGAUAUGUGAGUCUAGUUUUGGGAAAAAUUAGCGGAUCUUAAUUUGGAGUUCUGUAGCUCAAGAUAUAAAUAAUUUAGUGAAUAUGACUCAGUGAGACAGCUUUGAAUGCACUAUAAAUAAUAAUGAAAUUAUAGAGAAUGUUACAUAUGAACAUGAAAUGUAUUAGAUUAAUGAGUAUAUUUAUUUAUUUAGAUCCAGAAAAUUCAAAUACGAAUCUAGAUCGAGGAAAAGAAAAAGUUCGGGAUUAGUAGAUUUUUGUUUACGAACAAGUAUCGAGGUAAGUUCGUGUAACUUGAAUUAUAUUCUUAAAUGCUUGAAAUAUAUUUUUCUUGAUGUGAAUAUGAUUUGGAUGUUUAUUGUAUGAUAAUUGAUGAAGUAUUGAUAUUCUUGAUGAAAAGAGAAAAUAAAUCCCAGUUGAAUGAAAGGAAAAUUCGAUAGAUCUCUGAAAAGGAAUUGACGGUAAAAAGGAUCUAGCCCGGACGGGUGAUUCUAUCCUGAUAUAGCCCUCCCGAAGAAUAUGUGGAAAAUAGAUUUAGCCUGGACGGGUAAUCCGAAUUAGGGUCUGAAUUUAGCCUGGACUGGUAAUUCAGAUCCAAGCUCAUUAAAGUAAUUGUCGUUGCAGGGGAUUUAGCCUGGACUGGUAAUCCCGACAAUACUCUAUGAGUUUAUAUUUUAGGGGAUUUAGCAUGGACUGGUAAUCCCACUGUAAGGAUGAUGUUCGCGGGAGUGUGCUCUUUGAAAUGGAAAUGUGCGCACAUGAAUAUGAAUUGACGGACUCGGAUUUGUACACUAAAGUGUACCCCUGAAAAUCCAUCGAAAUUCCAAGUAGUUCAACGGGAUAAAUAUGGAAAAAUAACAAGGGAAUGGAAAUCAUGGAAUUGAUGAGCUCAUCAAUCAUGGUAUAUAUUAUUGAUACAUGGAAAUUAUUGGACUAAUUUGAAUGUUGAGUUUAUGCAUGAUAGGGGAAUAAUGUAUGGAAUGGGUGUAUGAAUGUUUAUUGCAUUGUAUUGAAAAUAUUAGGUAAGUAUAAUUCUUAUUACAUGAAUUUACUAAGCACAAAGUGCUUACCCUGUUUCCUUUUCCCCUGUUUUGUAAUGUUAAGAGCUCGAAGGUUGGAUUUGGUCGGAGACGCAUCACACUAUCAACCUCAAGAUCUCGGUAUAUAAAGAAACUUUAUUUUGGAAAUCAAUGGCAUGUAUAAGCUAGUAAAGUAAAUGUUAAUGUGAAAUGAAUGUAUGGUUAGCCAUUGGUAUGGCUAACAAAUUUUGGUUUUGGUAUGUGAUGAGGGUAUCUUAUGAAUAUGUUAAAUCUAUCUUGAAAAUAUGUUGAAAUGGAUUGGUUGUGUUGGAUUAGUCUCGGUUUAAAAUUGCAGGGAAGGUUAGAAAUUUAUAAAGGGGUUAUAUUGAGUUCAAAAAAAAAAUUUGGGAUUUUGCGAAAAAGUUCUUAUGGUUUCAAUUUAAUCUUGAUUUGGUCCAGAUGUAUGUUUUGGGCUUCGGAGGCCUAAUAAAUGGACGUCAUGACAUGUUUUGAUAAAUGAAUAGUAUUUAACUCGUAAUAAUGGAAAAUUAAUUUGGCAAAAUUUGGUAAUGCCUCAUACCCUAUUUUGGCGGCGAAUAUGGGUAGGGGGUAUUACACGGACUUCCUUGACGACCCCCGAGCUCGUAACUAACCUCUAAAAUGUAUAAAACAACGAAUACACGUACAAGUAAGCUUGGAAAGCUUAGUAAGUCAUAAGUAAUUAAAUUAUCAAAUGAACAUUAGUAUGAUUAUUUCAAGUAGGCUGAAUACUCCUAAUCUCAAAUACAUGUUUUUAUAAUCACAUUUAAAUAGUUAGUUCUCAAUAUCAUUGUAAUAGCCUGAAUAUUCAGUGGUGUCGGAAUGGUGAUUCGAGAUCACUAAAUCUGACAAACGAGUAGAAAAUAUUAUAAAUUUAGUAAGUAUAAGUUAAAUGUGAAGUUAGAAAAUUUUUUGAAAUAGUGAAUAGUGUACUAGGAAUAAAUAUUAAAAUAAUUAAAAUAAAAAACGAGGUAUCGAGACCUCGAAGAUUUUAAACCGAGCCAUAAAUAUUUUUAGAAAUAUUUAUAGAGUGUCAUUGAGUUGGUAUUAAAGUUUCGUUAGAAAAUUUUAACGUUUGGAUAGUUAAUUAACUAAAAAGGACUAAAUUGAAAAUAGUGUAAAAUUUGUUAAAUUGUGAUUAAAUAGCUUAAGUGACUAAUGAGGAAGGAUUUAAAAGGCAAUUAGGCCCAAAUUUUAUGGGCUGGACUGUUGGGUAAGAAAAAUCAGCAGAAUGUAAGUAGAAAUAGGGGCAAAAUUGGAAACUUAACAAAUUAAACAUUUAAAACAAAGACAAAAGUGAAAAAUCUAGAGAUCUCUUCACAAUUUAUCAGAAAAAACGCCAUAGGAGGUCUGAAACAAGCUGGUUUUUCAUAUAUUUGAAUCAUGUAAGUUUAAUUCUUGAUUAUUUCUUCUAAUUUUUGUGAUUUUGAUACUUUUACAAUUAGGCCCAACUAAUUAUUUCAUUAGUUUUUGAUUUCAUGGCUGAUUUUGAAAGUUUCUAUGAAUACAUGCUGGAAGUAUAUGAUGAAUGAACAUGGAAUUAAAUCUUUAAUUUUGUUAUAUGAUGAUUUUAUUAAGUAAUUUUGAUAGAAAUUGAUUUUAGGGACUUAAUUGUGAAAAAGUUGGGAAUUAAGAUUUGGUGUUGCGGUUUUGAGUAUGAGAGGCUAUGUAGUAGUAUAAAAUAGUCAGAAAAGGUGUUAAUUGAGAAAAAUUAGAUCAAUUGAGGGGUUAAUUGAGUAGGGACCAAAUUGUAAAAACUGUAAAGUUUGGGGUAAAAGUGUAAUUUCGAAAUUUAAGGGCAUAAAUUGUGAAAUGGAUUAGAAUAGAAUUAUAUGCUGAUGAAUGAAUAAAUUUGUAUUUUAGAUCGAGAACCCGAAGCAAGCCGAGGAAAAGAAAAAGUAGUUGAUUAGUCCCUGAACUUUUGCAAAUUCUGCAAAUCGACCCAGGUAAGUUCAUAUGGCUGAAAUUUAAUGAUUAAAUGUUAAUUUCAUGAAUUAUACAAUGUAUGAUGAAAUGUAUUUAUUGUUGAAAUGAGAAUAAAAUAAAAAUGUGAAAAUCGAAUAAAUGAUCAAAUUAAGUGGAACGCCGGAUUUGAGUACUUCUGAUCAAUAAACAAAGUGAUAAGUGGUUACACUUAUCUGAUCAAGAGACAAAGUGAUAAGUGGCUACACUUAUCUGAUCAAGUGAUAAAGUGAUAAGUGGUAGCUUCAGCUACACUUAUCUGAUCAAGUGGCAAAGUGAUAAGUGGUAGCCUAGCUACACUUAUCUGAUCAAGGACAAGUGAUAAGAGGUCAUAUGUCAAAGUGAAAGUGAAGUACUCAAUUUUCCGUAACCGUUCCUUAAUUUUGAUCAAGGAUGGUAAGUGACAAAUGGGCCCAAAGGAAUUAUGGUAAAAGAAUAAGUAGUAGUGAGUUUAUACCAAGGGAACUCACCAAAGAUUGUGGUUGACAGGUAAAUUUAGUAAUGGUGUAUAUUGUAUAAGUGUACAAGUGUUUGGUAAGAUUUAUGUUUUAUGCCUAUGACUUACUAAGCUUUUCUAUAAGCUUACAUGUGUGUGUUUAUUGUUUUGUAGAUAACGUAUUAUACAUUCGNNNNNNNNNNNNNNNNNNNNNNNNNNNNNNNNNNNNNNNNNNNNNNNNNNNNNNNNNNNNNNNNNNNNNNNNNNNNNNNNNNNNNNNNNNNNNNNNNNNNNNNNNNNNNNNNNNNNNNNNNNNNNNNNNNNNNNNNNNNNNNNNNNNNNNNNNNNNNNNNNNNNNNNNNNNNNNNNNNNNNNNNNNNNNNNNNNNNNNNNNNNNNNNNNNNNNNNNNNNNNNNNNNNNNNNNNNNNNNNNNNNNNNNNNNNNNNNNNNNNNNNNNNNNNNNNNNNNNNNNNNNNNNNNNNNNNNNNNNNNNNNNNNNNNNNNNNNNNNNNNNNNNNNNNNNNNNNNNNNNNNNNNNNNNNNNNNNNNNNNNNNNNNNNNNNNNNNNNNNNNNNNNNNNNNNNNNNNNNNNNNNNNNNNNNNNNNNNNNNNNNNNNNNNNNNNNNNNNNNNNNNNNNNNNNNNNNNNNNNNNNNNNNNNNNNNNNNNNNNNNNNNNNNNNNNNNNNNNNNNNNNNNNNNNNNNNNNNNNNNNNNNNNNNNNNNNNNNNNNNNNNNNNNNNNNNNNNNNNNNNNNNNNNNNNNNNNNNNNNNNNNNNNNNNNNNNNNNNNNNNNNNNNNNNNNNNNNNNNNNNNNNNNNNNNNNNNNNNNNNNNNNNNNNNNNNNNNNNNNNNNNNNNNNNNNNNNNNNNNNNNNNNNNNNNNNNNNNNNNNNNNNNNNNNNNNNNNNNNNNNNNNNNNNNNNNNNNNNNNNNNNNNNNNNNNNNNNNNNNNNNNNNNNNNNNNNNNNNNNNNNNNNNNNNNNNNNNNNNNNNNNNNNNNNNNNNNNNNNNNNNNNNNNNNNNNNNNNNNNNNNNNNNNNNNNNNNNNNNNNNNNNNNNNNNNNNNNNNNNNNNNNNNNNNNNNNNNNNNNNNNNNNNNNNNNNNNNNNNNNNNNNNNNNNNNNNNNNNNNNNNNNNNNNNNNNNNNNNNNNNNNNNNNNNNNNNNNNNNNNNNNNNNNNNNNNNNNNNNNNNNNNNNNNNNNNNNNNNNNNNNNNNNNNNNNNNNNNNNNNNNNNNNNNNNNNNNNNNNNNNNNNNNNNNNNNNNNNNNNNNNNNNNNNNNNNNNNNNNNNNNNNNNNNNNNNNNNAAAAUUGCAAUGGAGCAGUUCUUGGACAGCAGCAUUGAUGUAACUUUUAAAAAUCACCAAAAAUAGUGGAAAUAGAAUUAGAAGUUGAGUGAGAUAUAAAAUUAAAGCUGAAAGAGUCUAAUUUCAUAUGAAAGAAGUGGAGUAAGCAAAAUAAUUAUAUACUUUUAGAUAUUUGAAUUUUAGUGAAACAGGGCAAGAAUGUUUUUGAAGUCCUGUUCUGACUUUAGAAAUUCAUUAAAAAUUGUACAGAAGGAAUUAUGAGUUAUAAUUUAUAUGUAUAGAUUCCUUAAUGAGUAUAUUUUCAGUAUAAAUAAGUUUAAUCACCAUAUGAAGCCUUUAAUAAGAUAUGAUUAAAUUUUAGUGAUGAGUGGUCAGGAUAGUCGAUUAGUGAAACAGGGGAGAAUUCAACUAAUAAACUGUACUAAUUGGCUAAAUAAAAAAUUCUGAAAAAUUUAUGGUGAAUAGAUAUAUGAGUCUAGUUUCAGGAAAAAUUUACGGAUCUAAAUUUCGAGUUUCGUAGCUUGAAUUAUAAUUAUUUUAGUGACUGCUGUACAGGUGGACAGCUUUAUUAUGAAUGAUGAAAUUAAAUUUGAAAGUAAAUUUUUAUGCCCCGAACUUUUAAGUUAAGUCAAGUAACGCCUCAUGCUCGACUCCGGCAGCGGUAUUGGGUAAGGGGUGUUACAAUCAUAUUACACAACAACACCUACCUUUAUUAUCAAACUUUAUAUAAACUUAAACAUACCUGAAUCGUUAAAUUCGAACUCACAUUCGGUUUUACCGUACCAUUGCCCGUUGAACCGUUCGGAAUCAAAUAGGAUGCUCAUGAACUCGGCAAGCUUGUACAAUGCCAACGUCCCAGACGUGGUCUUACAUGUAAUCAAAUACCGAUGCCACUGUCCCAAACAGGGUCUUACACAAAAUCAUACACGAUGUCAAUGUCCCAGACAUGGUCUUACACGUAAAUCUCAAAUCGAUGCCAACGUCCCAGACGUGAUCUUACACGAAAUCACAUAUCGAAAUCCUAGGUCAUGACAUAUGUAUCCUAAUUAUUCCUAUGGUUCGUACGGGGCUUUCAGAUGUCGUAAUUCGAUCAAAUCGAACUCGUAAUUAAUUGUCUCAUGCUUAUAUCAAAUUCGACAUUUACCCAAAUAUAAUUAAUAAUUCAAUUCAGCAAUUAUAAAUCAUAUACAUUCGAAAUUAGAGACAUUUAUUCACUUAUGAACUUACCUCGGACAAAGACGAACUGACCGAGACGAUUAUUCGACAACUUUUGAUUUCCCCAAAUCCAAAUCUAAUUUCUUCUUUUCUUGAUCUAAUUUAAUACAAAUUUAACUUAUUUAAUAACAUAUUCACUCAAAUUUGUUCCAAAAAUACAUAAAUGGGAAAAUUACAUUUUAGCCUCUAACAUUUCACAUUUUUAACAAUUUAGUCCCUAUUUCACAAAACACAAAAUACACAUAAUUUAAAAAUAUCUAGCUUGGCCGAAUAUUCCUAUAGCUCAUAUUAGUCCACACAUUUCAUUUAUUUCACAUUUUAGCCCCUCAAUUUUUUUCAUUUUCACAAAUAAAUCCCUAAUUUGGAUUUUUAUUAAAAAUUAUUUAAUAAAAUUUAUAAUCUAUCAACAAAUAUUUAUUUUUCAUUAUCAACAACAAUUUCAUAAUAUUAUCAACAAUGACACUUCUCAAAAUCAUAAUCAAUUCCAAAAUUAACACAUGGACUAGGAAAUAUACAAAGCAAUGAUCUAAAAAACGUAAAAAUUAUCAAAAAAUCAAACAAAGAACAUACCUAAUUUAAUCUUUUAAUUGCCGAAAAUACAAAGCUCGAAAUUCUCUUUUCUUUCUCACGUCUCGGCAGAAUAAAGCCAUUUGCAUGGCUAUAUUAUGUUUUAUUUAAUUUAAUUAUAAGUUAUUAUACUUUUUACCAUUUUACCCUUAAUGCAUUAUCAUUAAAAUCCACCUAAUCUUGUCCAAUAUUGUCCACCACUAUUAUUAAUGGUAUAAUUGACAUGCAAGUGCUCCAAAUUUUCAUUUUACAUUAAUUUGAUGCCUUCAACAAAAAGACCUCAAAAUUUUUCACGUUACGCGAUUAAGUCUUUUUAUCAAAUUAAGCACACAAACGAUAAAAUUUUUACACGAGAUUUUCACACGUAUUUAUUCACAUACUGUAAACACUAAAAGAAAUUUUAAAAUAUUUUUCUGACUCAGAUUCAUGGUCCCGAAACCACUGUCCGACUAAGGUCUAAACCGGGCUGUUACAUAUAUCAUAUGCUCAAAAUGAUUGAGUAAAAUGAUUGAGUGAUGGAUGAGAGAUUUAUGCUCAAAAUAAGCUACUUGGAAAUAUUUGUUGAGGAAAAGAAAAGUUUAGAUCUCACAUUGGUUAAAUACCAAGUACGAAAUGUGUAUAUAUAUGAGAAUCCACUUGAAGGAUGCUUGAAUAACUAAGCUUGAAAUUUUGUCUUGUGCAUAGGAGGUGUAGAUCCAAACCCAUUGGAGUCGGCACCACUUGUAUAGUGUGGGUGAUGCAAAAUGUUUGGACUAAUUGGGCCCAAAAUGGUUCUAAAUUUUAAAUUUUGAAAAGGAAAGUAACCAAAUUACUGAAAUUAAAAGUACAAAAAAAAGCAAAUUCCUAUUUUAUGAAGAGUACGAGAACUUAUGACAUAUUUUAAUCCUAAUUAUGGAUAAACAAUGCAACUAUAGUAAUACUGUUAACCCUUAAAUAGGAAGAUAAAAAGAAAAUGUUCAUACUAAUGGAUUCGGGUUCCAAUGCACGAGAUCUUGUAGCACUUACCAAUGAGGCUCUAUCAAUUAGUAUUACACAGAAGAAAUCAAUUAUUGGUACACUAAUACAAUUAGAUAGGUAGGGAAUUCUUAUUUGUACAAAUGGUACUUUGAGCUUGGAAUGAGCAUGAAGAAAUUAACGAUACUUCUUUAUCUUUUGAGUCUGCUAGAUUGGUCGCUCAAGACCUUUGGUUUCUACUCGGAUCCGAUGAAAAAUAGGAUCACUUAUGGGUUUGUUGAGAAUGAUUCUAAUCAAGUUCAUGGCCUAUUAGAAAUAGAAGGCGCUCUGGUGGGAUCCUCACGGACAGAAAAAGAUUAUGGUCAGUUUGAUAAUGAUCGAGUAACAUUGCUUCUUUGGUCCGAGUCGAGGAAUCCCUUAUAUAUGAUGCAAAACAGAUCUUGUUUUAUCGUUGAUCAGAGAAAUUUCUAUAAAAAAUACGAAUCGGAGUUUGAAGAAGGGGAAGGAGAAGGAGUACAAAACCCGCAACAAAUAAAGGAAGAUUUAUUCAAUCACAUAGUUUGGACUCCUAGGAUAUGGUGCCUACCUAUGAUAAUUUCAACCAAACUAAAACUUGGUUAGCAACUAUAUUUGUUGUAACGCAUGAAAAAAAACUAUUGAUACACCCUGAUUACUGGCACUGUCUCUUAUCCGCACAAUAAGGCGUCGCCGAAGGUGUGGCCGAUGGAUUCACCGUGACCUGUGUUCUUUCCUUUCGAGUUGCGGACAUGAAUUUCACCAUCAACGGUUUUACCUUCUCGGUAGUCUUGAUGAUAAUCAAGAAUAAUACUCGAUAAAAAACAACCAUUGCAAACA